RNAcentral lists this long non-coding RNA (79383 nucleotides) under Triticum aestivum (bread wheat). Its description in RNAcentral is "long non-coding RNA (TAES_LNC009684)". The record is from RNAcentral. Lineage: Eukaryota; Viridiplantae; Streptophyta; Magnoliopsida; Poales; Poaceae.
CUAGAAAAGGUUGUCGGGAGAAAGUUGGCAAGGUGCACCUGCACUGACGUCUGGAGUAGAAAGAGAUGGAGUGUGAUGAAGGGGGGCAUCUCAACGGUGGUGGCCUCACAUGGCUCCAUGUUGUUUGAAAUCCAGUGUUGAGGUCUCUCUAAUAAUGUUCACCAGUUCAACUUGGAAGCAUAGAAUGAUUGGGGUGUAAAUUCUCUAGUUGUUUGUAGAUCCUUUGAAGAACAUACUUCUAAUAAGGUAAGCAUUUUAAUUGAUAUUAGCAAUGUGUUUGUGUAGUGCCUGUAUUGACAAAGUAGACAAAUGAAAGUAUUCUAGACGUAUAAUUUCCGUAAACACCUUUUCAAAAAAUAUUUUCCGUAAACUGGGCAUGCAUAGUUGAAAAUUUUAUCCAUUGAACCCACUAAUAAACAAAACAAAUUGUCAUAUGAACCUUGAAAGCAAGCCCAUCAAAUAUCCAUCUUCCAAUUUCAGUUCAAAGCAAUAUAGAGAUAUUGGUAAAAAUUGUGACUAUAGUAUCCAAGAAAGCACAAAAGCAAAUCUAAAAAUCACAACAAAAAUGUAUCACAUGCGGCGCUAAAUUUUAGACCAUUACGACCAAUCAAGCUGGACACAACCCAGAUCACAUCUAUUCAAGGUAUUACCUGCAGCAUAACAAGCUCAGAGUUCUAAAAACACUACCAAACUGAUGUAACUUCACAAACCAGCAUAACAAGCUCACAGCCAAUGUUCUAGAAACACUACCAAAGUGAUGUAACUUUACAAGUCAGCAUAACAGUGUCACAGCCUAUGAUCUAAAAACACUACCAAAGUGAUGUCACUUCACAAGUCCGCAUAACAAGCUCCCAGCCUAUGUUCUAAGAGCAUCUCCAGCCGUUGGCCCACCAGGGGGCGCCUAAAAUCAUCGCCUGGGGGCUAGCCGGCGCAAAAAAAGGGCCUGGGGCGAGUUGGUCCCCAGUCGUCGGCCUCAGGGCCGUCCCCAGAGGCGUCUAAUUUUUUCAAAAAAAAACGUUCGCGAAGUUCGGUUAAACACGACUAAAUUUUGGCAAACUUUGGCAUAUAUUAGACAUGUUUGCGACACGCUACAUAGCAAAUAUAACUAAAAAAAGAAAUCGCUGAACGCCGAGUAGUCACCGUCGUUGCCGCCAUCCUCGCCGCCGCCGCCGUCGGCCUUCUCCUCCUUGACGCAGUCGUCCCUGCUGGACCCCUGCCCGGCGUCACCAUGGCGGACUGGUGGCGAUAGCGGUGGCGCGUCGUCAUCGCCGCUGUCGUCGAGGACGACGACUCCUCCUUUGUCGCGGCCCCAGCGGCGCUGCUCGAAGCGCCACAGGGCGGCGCACUGGCGUUCCCUCUCCAUCUUCAGGAAGUCCUCGCGCGCCCAUUUCAGGGCCGCCUCGUCAUCGAGCUCCACGUCGCCGUGCUCCGUCUUCACGGCGGGGAGCCCCGGCUCCGUUUUCACCGGCGUGAGCCCCGGCUCCGUCUUUGGCUUGACGAAGCACGGAGGAGCCGACGAGGAGGUGCGCCGGCCGCCCUCGUUGAUGACGAUGCCGGCGCUGUGAGUGCGCCGGCCGAGCGGCGUCUCCGCCGGGGGCUCGGCCUUGACGCCGAGAAGCGCCGGAGAGCCGGAGGAGUGGGAAGAAGACCGUGAGGAGGAGUGCGAGGAGGAGCCGAACCUCCUGGACAUCCAUUGCCCGAUGCGUCGGCGGUGGGCGGGGGCGACCGCCGGGGGAGGGUAUGCAAGCGGCGGGUUGUUGCCGCCCUCAAGGUGCGUCAGCACGCCCUCGAGCGUGCGGCCGGGGACGCCCCACCACACGUGGCGCCCCUCGCUGUUCUUUGUGCCGUCCAUCACCCGCGCCCUGUUGGUGGACGCCAGCCUUUGCUCCUGACGGCGCUCGAAGUACGCCGCCCACGCCGCGUGGUUGUCGACGGCGUACUGGGGGAGGGCGAGCUGCUUGUCGGUGAGGGAGGCACGCACGAGCUCUACCUCGGCGGCGAAGUAGGGGGUGCGCGCCACGGCGUCGGGCAGGGGGGGAUGGGCACUCCCCCGUUGCUGAGCCUCCACCCCGUCGGCCUGGCGCGCAUGUCCGGCGGCGUCAGGAUGGUGGCCUCGAACAGCAGCCACGACUCCUGUUCGCGGAGCGAGCGGCGGCCGAAGCCGUUGGUCGCCGCCUCGUCGCCGGGGAAAUGCUCGGCCAUCGCCGGGGCUGUCGGAGUGCUCGGAGGCGGCGCACGAGAGAGGGAGAGCUCGGCGGGCUAGGGCUGGUGUGGCCAGAGGCGAGGGAGCCAACCAGCUUAUAUAGCCGCGCCCGUGUGUACGCGUGCGCGGGAGGGGAGGCGUCGCCGCGCCGCCCCUUGACACGCCGCCCGUGAGGAAUCAAUGGCAAGGCUGACCGGCGGCGGCAGCGCGGCAGCCUUGGCAUUGAUUCCCGCGAGAACCGAGGCGAUGAGGACGACGAAGUGCCGGUCUUGCUGACUCGGCGGGCCCGUAGCUGCUUCGCGCCAAAGCAACUCGCCCCGGCGCCCCCCAGCGCGCCGGGUUCGGUCUGGAUCCGUCGGCGCUGAUUUCGGCCUAGGUCUGUGAAAAUCGGGCACCUGGGACCGCGACUGGGCCGUUUUUUCGACGCCGGCGCGAAAAAAUCGCCUGAGGAGGUCUUUCUGAGAACGCGGCUGGAGAUGCUCUAAAACGCUUACCAAAGUGAUGUAACUUCACAAGUAAAUCGAACGGGCCUAAAAGGAAAAUGUAACUUAGUGCCUAAGCAGGCUCCUUCACGGAUGGCGAACCAGGUGAAUACUACAGCCAAUCUUUCGUAUAAAAAAUGCCUCCAUGAUUUCAGAUUGCAGUGAGCUAUGGUAGCCGUCAAACUUCCUGGUGCGUGUUUCAGCAGAGAAUAUAGAGCUGUUGCUGUCACUGUUGCUACUGACAACGACAAAACAUUGGGAUAGCCAAGACACAUCCUGGGGCAUCAUUGAGAGCAUUGGGUACUCGACAAAUUUUGAUGUGCAUGGGAUUAUGGUUUAUUCCAAAUGUUGAUCUAGCCCAUAACAAACUGUUAAACAUGUGACACCGUUUCUCUGAAGACAGCCAAGAUUGUCACAUGUUACAACAGUUAUAGCAAGACCACUGAUGAAGCAAAACUGAUAAUGUGAUUUUAUAACACAACUAUGAAAUUUAGAAGCCACCCUUGCCAAAGUACAGACAAAAGAAGGGUAUCUUGGAAGUUGAAUGGGGUGAGAUGACUCCAGUACCAUAUGGUUCAAUGGUUUUUGGUGAAUUUACAUGAGAAAUAUUCCUAAAAUUUCAACCCCAACAUCUAGGAUGGUUCGAAUUCAAGCAACCAAUUACAUGGAUGGCCUUUUCCUAGGAUAUCACAUGGUACAAGCAACUGAAACACAUUCUACUAUGAAGCAGUUCAGAACGGAGUACCCUACCAAGAAUCUACCUAUCAGAAGCUUAACUCUGGCUUACUUGACGUAGCUGUUUCUGAAUUGCUUUGUGUGUUUGGCUUGCUUGCGAAGUUUGAAUUGGGUAAUAUCCUUUGUCCUCAGAAGUGCCAACUUCUUCCAAAGCUCGUAACGUCGGCUUGCUUGAACAAGCCAUUUCUGAAAUGCUUGCAGAAUUUCUACUUGACUCUCUUGCAGAGUUUGAGGUUUGGCGGAGGAUACAAAUACUUCCAGAGCAUCAAGGAAAAAUCUUUUUAUUCAGAAUAAUACCUUGCAUAUUCAUUCGCUGGAACAACUUCAGGACAAACAUCUUAUCAUUCGCCCUGGUGUAUGCCUUGUAAUGCAACCUAUGUGGAAGCAUUGGGCACUACACCAGCCGAUCUGCUUCCAGAGGCAAGCGGUUCAUGCACUAGGCAUCAAGCAUUAUUAGCAAUCACAAUACCGUACAUAUUGAUGAGACACUCUUUGGCACGUAAUUUGGUUUGAAUCCUGAUUCGUCCAGCUUCUCAAGUACAGACUCAACUUUAUCUCUAAGACUUGCUUUCCCAUAGUUUGUUAUCAUGGAAUUAAACGUCAAGUGGGUAGGCCUCUCCUUGGAUCGCAAUAAACUCUUGGACACACUACUUGCUUCCAUACACACCAAUACGGGUUGUACGUCACAAUAUUCAGCUGGCAUAUCUCCAUUCCCUCAAGAGGAUGUUGUACGUCACAAUAUUCGGCAAGUAUCUCUCCAAGUCUCCAUGCCCUUCAUCUUGUCAAAAUAGCUGAGAGCUUUCAUGAAAGCAUUACUCUUGUCUAGUGAAUGCAUAUGAGCAGUUGAGCACCGACUAGGGAAUUGUAUACCAAAGUGUCCGGCUUGCACCCGCUGUUGCACAUCUCAAAGAAGAGCCACAUGACCAUCCGUAUCUGCCCCUCUUUUUCCAUCACAUAUAUCUGCUUAGAAUAGAUGUUGUUAUCCGCAACUUACGACCGCUGCUUCUGCAUCCACCUGAAAAUCUAGCUGAGCACAAAGCAUCAGAGAAAUGAGCAGAAAUAUGUGACCAACAGCAACUCCACAAAUCAUCAAUUGCACACGGGGACAUCUGAAAAUGAUAGGUGGUUCAGAAAUUAGCUAUGUCCCCAUGUACAACAUAAGGCCCGGCCCCACCUCCUUAAAAUUAGGGGAGAGAUGAUUAGGUUAGAAAGAAAAAAGAGAAAAAGACAGCCGUAUGAUGGAGUGGGAGCAUGGAUGGAAGAAUGGGGAGGGAGCAGGCAAGCCGGAUCCGCUGAGAAGCGGCCGAGUCCAUUUGGAAUCCAUAUGGCCGCUGACGCAUUGUCCAACGUGGAUACGGCCGGUGGUCCUUGCCAUGGGCCAUGGCCAUUGAUCUCGCGAUGGUAUCAUCAUCAUCGCCAAUUUUUUAUUCGGCGCAAUCUUUUGUACUUAGUAAUAAUGAAAUUAUUACAAAAUCGUCUUCAAAAGAUAAUGAAAAUUAUUAGCAUGGUUUAAUUGCGUUUUAAGGUACGAACUAUUUUUAUUCGUGUCAAUCUUUUGGAUUACAAAAAGAAUGCGGAAUUUAAUAGCAAUUCAUCUGGAUGAGGCUCACGCCCAACAUGGAUACCAACGGCCGUCCUGACCACGCGAGGGUACUGCANNNNNNNNNNNNNNNNNNNNNNNNNNNNNNNNNNNNNNNNNNNNNNNNNNNNNNNNNNNNNNNNNNNNNNNNNNNNNNNNNNNNNNNNNNNNNNNNNNNNNNNNNNNNNNNNNNNNNNNNNNNNNNNNNNNNNNNNNNNNNNNNNNNNNNNNNNNNNNNNNNNNNNNNNNNNNNNNNNNNNNNNNNNNNNNNNNNNNNNNNNNNNNNNNNNNNNNNNNNNNNNNNNNNNNNNNNNNNNNNNNNNNNNNNNNNNNNNNNNNNNNNNNNNNNNNNNNNNNNNNNNNNNNNNNNNNNNNNNNNNNNNNNNNNNNNNNNNNNNNNNNNNNNNNNNNNNNNNNNNNNNNNNNNNNNNNNNNNNNNNNNNNNNNNNNNNNNNNNNNNNNNNNNNNNNNNNNNNNNNNNNNNNNNNNNNNAAGCAUAGGCAUUCACAUACCGGUAGAAUAAAAAUCUGACAAAAAAUAUCAGCUUUUUUUAUUCUAUCUUCAUUUACCUCAAGUUUAGUUUGUUACCGUUGAGUUCCUUUUUUGAGAGAGAGAGAGAGAGAGUCAUUAUGUCUGAACCUUGUUACACAAAUCACCAUCACUCAAGGUGUUCUAACACAAGACAUGUGUUUUCCCAAAAAAAAACACAGGAUAGGUAAUUAUGCCCUUGCAAUCUUUAGAGAAAAGAUAUUAGAGGGAGGUGAGUGUCUUCAGUUUUUUCGUCCAUUAUCAAAAUAACCCUCGAAGUUAAUAUUAUUUACCCCUGUUGCCACCGAUAAUAAAAAAUGGUUCGUCUUCGUUGUCGGGCUCAUUGCUCCUUAAUUUCAGCCUCGGGCCGCGGCCCCCUCGCGUUGUUGACCGAUUUCAAUACUAAUACAACUCGGAGCAGAGCAAAGGGAGAUUGAAUUGAAUUAAUGGAACUAUGUGCGAUAAUGAGAACCAUCGCUCACAAUUUUAGCAUAUGGAUUGUGUGAGAUCUAGAGCUACCUGAAGAUAUAAGAUCGACGAAACCUAGAGCCAGAAGAGUAAACCUGCCAUAUGCACAUACCAAGAAGGUAAAAAAAAAUAUAAACGACUCUGGAUAACCAUUAAUAAGACUCCAUUAAUUACGUCAACUAAUAGCUAGGGAGGAAAGUAUCAACAUAUAUGGAGUAUAUAUAUAAGCAAACUCAACAACAAAGAUAUACUAGUCUACUCCUUCUUCUUGGAUGCCACUUUUGCGCCAUUGUAUUGGCGAGGAUACUUCUUGCCGCUUACUGUCGGCUUCUUGGGGCCGCCGUCGUCAUUAUCACUGUCAUCAAAGUCGUCAUCGUCGCCAUCACUGUCAUCGACAUCCUCGUCGUCCUCCUCAUCAUCAUCAUCUUCUUCAUGGUUCUCCGAGUGCUCCUCCUCCGAGUCGGUCUCUGAUGGCUCCUUUGGCCCUUCCAUGAACUCAAUAUAUUCGAGGUCAUCAGAGCUGUAGAGGCUAGAGGGUGGUGUGGAUUGCGGUCCCCAUGAAUUGUCACUUACAUCAGGACUGCAGAUGUCGUCGUCACUCGAGGAGUACUGGUUCCAUGGCCCUUUCCAAGAGGCCAUGGCUGCGAUGGGAGAGAUUGCAAGAGAGAGUGUGUGAGAGCACGGGGAUGAAGAAGGAAUGCCAAUUGAAUCGAUGAUUAGCAUAUUAUAUAGGCGCAUUAGAGGGUGGUCAGAAUUUGGAUAUAAUUAACUACAUUUAGUACCACCGACUACGCACACGGUUUUGCAUAUUCACACGUGUGUUAAUCUAGGAAUGGGGCGGUUUUAAUUGGGAAUUUUAGUGUUGGUUGUUGAUUGGUUUCCUUUGGUUGGGCUAUAAUGGGCAGAAAAGGCUAACUGGGCUGGGGCGGUGUGGGUGUAGCUGAGAACGAGUUGGAUUGAGUUGGUGCGGGUUGAGGAUGAAUGAGAAAAUUGGGUUAGAUGACACCAUGGGUCAACCCGUGAGUGCACCCGCUCAACCUAGCCACACACUCCUCUUCCCGUUCCCCAGCGCUCUCUAGUGUUCCAUGGCCACAACCCUGAUACGUCCAUUUUGCAUCAUGCUUUUAUAUCGAUAUUUAUUGCAUUAUGGGCUGUUAUUACAGAUUAUGUCACAAUAUUUAUGCCUAUUCUCUCUUAUUUUACAAGAUUUAUAUGAAGAGGGGGAAUGCCGGCAGCUGAAAUUCUGGGCUGGAAAAGGAGCAAAUAUUAUAGACCUAUUCUGCACAUCUCCAAAAGUCCUGAAACUCUACAGGAAUUAUUUUCAGAAUAUAUAAAAAAUAUUGGGCCAAAGAAGUACCUGAGGGGGGCCACCCACCGUCCACGAGGGUGGGGGGCACACCUACCCCCUGGGCGCGCCCCCUGCCUCGUGGCCCCCCUGGUGGCCCUCUGAUGCCCAUCUUUGACUAUAUGGAGUCUUUCAUCGAGAAAAAAAAUCAUAAGCAAGCUUACGGGACGAAACUCCGCCGCCACGAGGCGGAACCAAUCUAGGGCUCCGGCGGAGCUGUUCUGCCGGGGAAACUUCCCUCCGGGAGGGGGAAAUCAUCACCAACGAUCCUCUCAUCAGGAGGGGGUCAAUCUCCAUCAACAUGUUCACCAGCACCAUCUCAUCUCAAACCCUAGUUCAUCUCUUGUAUCCAAACCUCAGAUUGGUACCCGUGGGUUGCUAGUAGUGUUGAUUACUCCUUGUAGUUGAUGCUAGUUGGUUUACUUGGUGGAAGAUCAUAUGUUCAAAUCCAUUAUGCAUAUUAAUACCCCUCUGAUUAUGAACAUGAAUAUGCUUUGUGAGUAGUUACGUUUGUUCCUGAGGACAUGGGAGAAGUCUUGCUAUAAGUAGUCAUGUGAAUUUGGUAUUCGUUCGAUAUUUUGUUGAGAUGUAUGUUGUCAUCCCUCUAGUGGUGUUAUGUGAAUGUAGAGUACAUGACACUUCACCAUUAUUUGGGCAUAGAGAGAGGCAUUGGGAAGUAAUAAGUAGAUGAUGGGUUGCUAGAGUGACAGAAGUUUAAACCCUGGUUUAUGUGUUGUUUCAUAAGGGGCUGAUUUGGAUCCAUAUGUUUCAUGCUAUGGUUAGGUUUACCUUAAUACUUCUGUUGUAGUUGCGGAUGCUUGCAAUAGGGGUUAAUCAUAAGUGGGAUGCUUGUCCAAGUAAGGGCAGUACCCAAGCACCGGUCCACCCACAUAUCGAAUUAUCAAAGUACCGAACACGAAUCAUAUGAACGUGAUGAAAACUAGCUUAACGAUAAUUUCCAUGUGUCCUCGGGAGCGCUUAAUUUUAUAUAAGAGUUUGUCCAGGCUUGUCUUUGCUACAAAAGGAUUGGGCCAUCUUGCUGCACCUUAUUUACUUUUACUAUUUAUCACCCGUUACCAAUUACCUUAUUACAAAACUAUCUUUUACCGAUAAUUUCAGUGCUUGCAGAAAAUACCUUGCUGAAAACCAUUUAUCAUUUCCUUCUGCUCCUCACUGGGUUCGAGACUCUUACUUAUCGAAAAGGCUACGAUAAUCCCCUACAUGUGUGGGUCAUCAGGACUCUUUUCUGGCGCCGUUGCCGGGGAGUAAAGCACCUUUGGUAGGUGGAAUUUGGUAAGGAAAAAUUUAUAUAGUGUGCUGAAAUUUACUAUCACUUGUUACUAUGGAACAUAAUCCUUUGAGGGGCUUGUUCGGGGUAUGUUCACCCCGACCAGUAGAGCAAAGAGUUGCUCCUCAACCUACUGAACCUACUGAAAAUGUUUACUUUGAAAUUUCUUCGGGUAUGAUAGAGAAACUGCUAGCUAAUCCUUUCACAGGUGAUGGAACAUUACAUCCCAACUUGCACCUAAUCUAUGUGGAUGAAGUUUGUGGAUUAUUUAAGCUUGCAGGUAUGCCCGAGGAUGUUAUCAAGAAGAAGGUAUUCCCUUUAUCUUUAAGGGAGAUGCAUUGACAUGGUUGAGGCUAUGUGAUGAUAUUGGAUCAUGGAACUACCAAUGAUUGAAAUUGUAAUUUCAUCAGAAGUUUUAUCCUAUGCAUCUUGUUCAUCGUGAUUGUAAUUAUAUAUAUAAUUUUUGGCCUCGCGAAGGAGAAAGCAUCGCUCAAGCUUGGGGGAGGCUUAAGUCAAUGUUAUAUUCAUGCCCCAAUCAUGAGCUCUAAAAAUGAUUAUUCAAAAAUUUUAUGCUCGGCUUUCUCUCAGUAAUCGCUCCAUGCUUGAUACUUCUUGUACUGGAUCUUUUAUGAUGAAGACUAUUGAAUUCAAAUGGGAUUUAUUGGAAAGAAUUAAAUGCAACUCUUAAGAUUGGGACCUUGACGAAGAUAAGGAGUCAGGUAUAACACCUAAGUUUGAUUGUGUUAAAUCUUUUAUGGAUACCGAUGCUUUUUGUGAAUUUAGCACUAAAUAUGGACUUGACUCUGAGAUAGUAGCUUCUUUCUGUGAAUCCUUUGCGACUCAUGUUGAGCUCCCUAAGGAGAAGUGGUUUAAAUAUAAUCCUCCCAUUCACUAGUAGAAAAUAGGGCUUUCGUUCGGCCAGAAAAUAGCAUUAAUCCCAGUUGCGUUACGAACCGGGACUAAUGUGAGCAUUAGUCCCGGUUCGAGCGGCGAGGGCACCGUACAGGCAUUACUCCCGGUUCAAAUGGGAUGUUUAGUCCCGGUUGGUGCCAUGAACCAGUACUAAAGGGUGCGAUGCCCAUUACUACCGGUUCGUGGCACGAACCGGUACUAAAGGUCUAACCUUNNNNNNNNNNNNNNNNNNNNNNNNNNNNNNNNNNNNNNNNNNNNNNNNNNNNNNNNNNNNNNNNNNNNNNNNNNNNNNNNNNNNNNNNNNNNNNNNNNNNNNNNNNNNNNNNNNNNNNNNNNNNNNNNNNNNNNNNNNNNNNNNNNNNNNNNNNNNNNNNNNNNNNNNNNNNNNNNNNNNNNAAGCAAAAGAAAAUGAUAAAGACUUCAAAAGUUAAAAUCCUUUGAGAUGUUGUUAUGUUACCACAUCUACUAGUUAGGAAAAUUUAAAAACAUAAAUUUGGACAUGUUUUGCAAAAAAUGUAGGGAAAAUGUAAAACGGCUAUAACUUUUGCAUACGAUGUCAGGAAAAACGUAUAAUAUAUCAAAAUGUUCAGAACAAAAAUCCGCAUCUGGUCUGUUUGCAAAUUUUUAGAAUCCUGAAAUUCCAAAAGGAAAAAAAGAUAUGCUCAAAUUUCAGUUUUUUUGAAUUUUGGUUAAAUCUGGUCAAACUAUGGUCAAACUACUUAUUCAAAAAGUAUUAGUGUUAUAAUUAUUCAAGAAUAUUAGUGUUACUAAAUAAUUAUUUCAAUUUUUUUGAAUGUUGGUCAAAUCUGGUCAAACUGUGGUCAAACAGCGGUCAAACUAUGGUCAAACUACUUAUUCAAGAAAGAUUAGUGUUACUAAAUAAUUAUUCAAGAAUAUUAGUGUUACUAAAUAAUUAUUUCAAUUUUUUUGAAUUUUGGUCAAAUCUGGUGAAACUAUGGUCAAACAGGGGUCAAAUUAUGGUCAAACUACUUAUUCAAGAAAUAUUAGUGUUACUUAAUAAUUAUUCAAGAAUAUUAGUGUUACUAAAUAAUUAUUUCAGUUUUUUUGAAUUUUGGUCAAAUCUGGUCAAACUAUGGUCAAACAAUGGCCAAACUACUUAUUCAAGAAAUAUUAGUGUUACUAGAUAAUUAUUUCAGUUUUUUUUGUAUUUUGGUCAAAUCUGGUGAAACAUUGGUCAAACUGUGGUCAAACUAUGGUCAAACUAAUUAUUCAAGAAAUAUUAGUGUUACUACAUAAUUAUUGUUUUUUAGAACAAUAGUUUCAAACUCAAACAGUGAAAUGUGUGACUUCAUGCUCAAGCUAAAUUCCUGAGGGUUAAUAGGAUUGACAUCUUACUAGUGUCAGGAAAACAACAAGUGGAGACUUGGAAACGAGGGAGAAUAGAACCCGGAAGUUAAGCAUGCUCAGGCUGGAGUAGUGAGAGGAUGGGUGACCAUCCGGGAAGUUAGAUGAUUUGGAAUGAUGAGAGGUGAUUAGAGAUUAGAGGUUAAAAUAAUUCAGAAAUUUAAAAAUAAAAAAAUUCAAAAAAAUAAUUUUAAAAAAAAAUCAUAAUAUUUCCUUUAGUACCGGUUGGUGUUACCAACCGGGACUAAAGGUGGACCUCCAGGCAACGGCCACGUGGAGGGCCUUUAGUCCCGGGACUAAAGGCCUCUUUUCUACUAGUGAUUGAAGUAAAAGUAGGUGCACCUAUUAAAGUUGAAGAAAAGACUAUCACUUAUAAUGAUCAUGUUGUUCCUACUGCUUAUAUUGAGAAACCACCUUUCCCUGUUAGAAUAAAGGAUCAUGCUAAAGCUUCAACUGUGGUCAACAAAAGUAAUAUUAAGGCACCCAAACCCCCUGAGCAAAUUAAGGUUGAACCUAGUGUUUCUAUGGUUAAAGAUCUCUUGGCCGAUAAUAUUGAUGGGCAGGUUAGUUACUUCUGCAAUGAAUCUGCUAGAAUUGCUAGACCCGAUACUAAAAAUAAACAUAGACCUGUUGUAGGCAUGCCUGUUAUUUCUGUUAAAAUAGGAGAUCAUUGCUAUCAUGGCUUAUGUGAUAUGCGUGCUAGUGCAAGUGCAAUACCUCAUUCCUUAUACAAAGGAAUUAUGCAUGAUAUUACACCUGCUGAGAUAGAAGAGAAUGAUGUUACAAUUAAGCUUGCAAAUAGAGAUACUAUUUCACUAGUUGGGAUUGUUAGAUAUGUUGAAGUCUUGUGUGGGGAAGUCAAAUAUCGUGCUGAUUUUCUUGUUCUUGGUUCCCCAAAAGAUGACUUUUGUCCCAUUAUAUUUGGUAGACCCUUCUUGAAUACUGUUAAUGCUAAGAUAGACUGCAAUAAGGAUAUUGUUUCUGCUGGUUUAGGGGAUAUGUCUCAUGAGUUUAAUUUUGCUAAAUUUCGUAGACAACCCCAUGAUAAAGAAUUACCUAGUAAAGAUGAAAUUAUUGGUCUUGCUUCUAUUGUCGUGUCUCCUACUGAUCCUUUAGAACAAUAUUUGCUAGACCAUGAAAAUGAUAUGUUUAUGAAUGAAAGAAGGGAAAUAGAUGAAGUAUUCUUUAAACAGGGACCUAUUUUGAAGCACAACUUGCCUGUUGAAACUCUAGGGGAUUCUCCUCCACCCAAGGGUGAUCCUGUGUUUGAGCUUAGACCUUUACCUGAUACUCUCAAAUAUGCUUAUCUUGAUGAGAAAGAGAUAUAUCCUGUUAUUAUUAGUGCUAACCUUUCAGAGCAUGAAGAAAAGAAAUUAUUGAAAACUCUGAAGAAGCACCGUGCUGCUAUUAGAUUUACUCUUGAUGAUCUUAAGGACAUUAGUCCCACUCUAUGCCAGCACAAAAUAAAAUUGGAGAAGGAUGCUAAACCGGUUGUUGAUCACCAACGACGGUUAAAUCCUAAGAUGAAAGAAGUGGUAAGAAAAGAAAUACUAAAGCUUCUAGAGGCAGGCAUAAUUUAUCCCGUUGCUGAUAGUCAGUGGGUAAGUCCUGUCCAUUGUGUCCCUAAGAAGGGAAGUAUUACUGUUGUUCCUCAUGAUAAAGAUGAAUUGAUCCCACAAAGAAUUGUUACAGGUUAUGGAAUGGUAAUAGAUUUCUGUAAAUUAAAUAAAGCUACUAAAAAGGAUCAUUACCCUUUAUCUUUUAUUGAUCAAAUGCUAGAAAGAUUAUCGAAGCAUACACAUGUUUGCUUUCUAGAUGGUUAUUCUGGUUUCUCUCAAAUACCUGUGUCAAAAGAGGAUCAAGAAAAGACAACUUUUACUUGCCCUUUCGGUACCUUUGCUUAUAGACGUAUGCCUUUUGGUUUAUGUAAUGCACCUGCUACCUUUCAAAGAUGUAUGACUGUUAUAUUCUCUGACUUUUGUGAAAAGAUUGUUGAGGUAUUCAUGGAUGAUUUCUCCGUUUACGGAACUUCUUUUGAUGAUUUCUUAAGCAACCUUGAUCGAGUUUUGCAGAGACGUGAAGAAACUAAUCUUGUCUUGAAUUAGAAGAAGUGCCACUUUAUGGUUAAUGAAGGUAUUGUCUUGGGGCAUAAAAUUUCUGAAAGAGUUAUUGAAGUUGAUAAAGUCAAAGUUGAUGCUAUUGAAAAGAUGCCGUGUCCCAAGGACAUUAAAGGUAUAAGAAGUUUCCUUGGUCAUGCCGGUUUUUAUAGGAGCUUCAUUAAGGACUUUUCUAAAAAUUUCUCAGCCUCUGACUAAUCUCUUAUAAAAAGAUGUUCCUUUUGUCUUUGAUGAUGAUUGUGUAGAAGCAUUUGAAAUACUUAAGAAAGCUUUGGUUUCUACACCUAUUGUUCAACCUCCUGAUUGGAAUUUACCCUUUGAAAUUAUGUGUGAUGCUACUGAUUAUGCUGUAGGGGUUGUUCUAGGACAAAGAGUUGAUAAGAAAUUAAAUGUUAUUCAAUAUGCUAGUAAAACUCUAGACAGUGCCCAAAGAAAAUUAUGCUACUACUGAAAAAGAAUUUUUAGCAGUUGUAUUUGCUUGCGAUAAGUUCAGACCUUAUAUUGUUGAAUCUAAAGUAACUGUUCACACUGAUCAUGCUGCUAUUAAAUAUUUUAUGGAAAAGAGAGAUGCUAAACCUAGACUUAUUAGAAGGGUUCUCUUGCUACAAGAAUUUGAUUUGCAUAUUAUUGAUAGAAAGGGAGCUGAGAACCCCGUUGCAGACAACUUGUCUAGGUUAGAGAAUGUUCUUAAUGACCCACUACCUAUUGAUGAUAGCUUUCCUGAUGAACAAUUAGCUGUCAUAAAUGCUUCUCAUACCUCUCCAUGGUAUGCUGAUUAUGCUAAUUACAUUGUUGCUAAAUUUAUACCACCUAGUUUCACAUACCAACAAAAGAAAAAGUUAUUUUAUGAUUUAAGACAUUAUUUCUGGGAUGACCCAAAUCUUUAUAAAGGAGUAGAUGGUGUUAUUAGACGUAGUGUACCCGAGCAUGAACAGGAACAGAUCUACGCAAGUGUCACUCCGAGGCUUAUGGAGGACACCAUGCUGGAGACAAAACUGCACAUAAGGUAUUGCAAUCCUUUUUUAUUGGUGUACUCUCUUCAAGGAUGCCCGUAGAUUUGUCUUGUCUUGUGAUGAAUGUCAAAGAAUUGGUAAUAUUAGUAGACGCGUCAAGAAAUGCGUAUGAACUAUUAACUAAUUAUUGAACCAUUUGAUGUUUGAGGCUUUGAUUAUAUGGGACAUUUUCCUUUCUCUAAUGGGUAUACUCAUAUUUUAGUUGCUGUUGAUUACGUUACUAAGUGGGUAGAAGCUAUUCCAACUAGUAGUGCUGAUCAUAACACCUCUAUUAAGAUGCUUAAAAAGUUAUUUUUUUCGAGGUUUGGAGUCCCUAGAUACUUAAUGACUGAUGGUGGUUCACAUUUUAUUCAUGAUGCUUUUCGUAAAAUGCUUACUAAAUAUGAUGUUAAUCAUAGAAUUGCAUCUCCAUAUCAUCCACAGUCUAGUGGUCAAGUAGAACUUAGCAAUAGAGAGCUUAAAUUAAUUUUGCAAAAGACUGUUAAUAGAUCUAGAAAGAAUUGGUCCAAGAAACUUGAUGAUGCAGUAUGGGCUUAUAGAAUUGCAUACAAAAAUCUAUGGGUAUGUCUCCAUAUAAAAUGGUUUAUGGUAAAGCAUGCCACUUACCUCUUGAACUAGAUGCUUUUUGAAAUUCACAAUUUUUUGAUUUGAUGUUUCUUAAAAUGCAUUAUCAUAUUUUGAAUCAGCAAACGUUUUAUGAAUCAACAAACUAUUUUGCAAGUUACGAAUAGUUUUUUGAAUUUUUAGGAUAUUUUCAAAUCAUGAAUAUUUUUUUGACUUGACCAAAGUUUCUUUAAUUUCAUUAACAUUUUUAAUACAUUUAAAAAAUCAUGAACAUUUUUUGAUUCCGAACAUUUGUUUCCAAAAUGGCGAACAUUUUUUGAUUACGCGAACAUUUUUUGAAAUCCACAAACAUUUACGAAUUGCUAAACAUUUUAUCUCAAAAUUAUUUUCUUAAUUUUUGGAACUUUUUUUGAAUUCCCAAAUUAUUUAAUGUACAAAAACGAAGAUGGAAAAGCAAAACGAAAUUUAAAAAAUAGGCUGCCAAGACAUGGGCCGGCCCAAACAGCGUGUUGUGUCUUCUCCUAGCGCAUAGAGCGCAGUUUAGACUGUUCCUAUUACAUGGGCCGGGCUGGGAUUCCGCUGUGUGAAUUUUUUCACUUAUAUGUGACACUGGUGGAUAAUAUUUUGCAAAUUUGAGUGCGAUUUCGGUGACGUGCCGCCAGAAGCAAUAGCUCCUUUAUUAUUAGGGGUAUAGAUAUAUAAAUUGAUUUCAUGUGCACGUAAGUUAGAGCAACUCCAACGCCUCUCUUGAAAAACCUUCUACUCCCUCCGUUCCUAACUAUAAGUCCUUUCAAAGAUUUCAAUAUGAACUAUAUACGGAGCACGAUAAGUGAAUCUACACUCUAAAAAAUAUCUAUAUACAUUUAUAUGUAGUCCGUAUUGAAAUCUCUAAAAAGUGUUAUAUUUAGAAACAGAGGAAGUAUAAAACUAGUUUUACGAGAUGUUUGUAAAUAAAUAACAGUGCAAGUUUUCUAAGAGCUACUUUUGUCAGAUUCUGUAAACUUAUUUCAUUCUUCUAUUUUUCAUUAAACAAAAAUGCAAAUUACACAUGCAUAUGCCUAAAUAUCAUCGUAAUAACUACAACAAUGUUAGACCGGACUGCACAACAUCAUUCCCGAGGGAUAGCUAUAUAGGCCCGUGGGGCUGAGCACCCCCAUGUCUGUUCUGCUCCUAGUUCACUUCCGUGCCUUCUUGCGUACAUUGCUUAGUGAGCUCUUGUAACCCCAUGCUGUAAAACUCUUCUCCUAUCAAUGCAGAGAUACGCAUCCUCUGUGUAUUCGCCACAAAAGAUCAAACUCACAUAUAAUUGAUAAUAAUUCAAACAUAAUAAAUUCGAAGUAGGCUUAAUCAAAUGGUUCAAACAUGAAGAUGAAACAUGCGAUAUAUGGCUCAUGAAAAGAAGGACAUAAACAAAAGAAAAUGAUAAAUAUGAAGAUCAGUUGUAGAUCAUCACGAUUGACUUCCACCACCGUUGCUAGUCCCAAAACCCUGUCCACAUCCAGCUUUGAUGCUAAAAUUUGUGAGUUCAUGAUCUGUAGAUAUUGCAUCGCUUCUGGCUCAAGUCCGCAACAUGAUCUUGUACUCUUGCUCCAUCUUUUUUGUCUGCACUUCCUCUUGAAAGGCUCUUAGUUUCUCUUCUUCGAUUGUCACUUUGUGCUCCUCCAUUACCUUCAGCUCUGUCCCACCUCAUGGCCUUCUCCAAUUUCGGCGAAAGGAUGCUGGCUAUCACACAUGUCGGCGAAAGGAAAUAUAAUUGUUGUUGAUGACCUAAGUACGAGCAAAGAACCAUGCAGCAUACUCUAGUUUUCCACUUGAGUACUAGUACGACGGAGGAGUAUGAAACACGGCAGCCCGGUGAACUAGCAUGCAAUAUGGCAAUAAAAAAUAAUGUAUACUACAGUCCAGCCUUUAGCAUGUAAAAAUACGCCACCACUUCCUCCUCUACCCGUCUAUCCAUAUAUCUUCCACAAUACACCUGAACACACCUGCAUCGUCUUCAUUCUUUCGUUUAUUUUUCUCUCCUCUCCUUCCAGGUGGCCUUUUUGCUUGGAUGACGGGAGUAGUAGGGGUAUUUGCCACUUCUUCCAUAUCAUCAUCAUCAUCAUCGCUAUCUUGUGAAUUUUAUUUAUCCUUCUUGGGAUUUAGCUGCACAAUCUUCCUGUUUUUUCACUUCUCAUUGCUCUUCAGCAACGCCCAACAGUGGUACAACAAAAAUGACCUAUUUUUGGGAUCCCUCUGCUUGUACAUGCCGUUUGACUAUCUUAUUUGAGAAGUUAGCAAUGUCAUAUUAGAAUUUUGGAUAAAUAAUUCAAAGAAUAAUAUGCACAAAAAAUACUCACCAACAUGUCCUUUGUCAUUCCACUUGGUUUCGCAAGAUGAACAUUACUCUUUUUUACCAAGUGGAAUGACAAAGGACAAGUGGAUUACUAACACAACCUGUGCAAUGACUACAAUAUUCCUGUGCAAUGACAAAGGACAAGUGGAGUACUAACACAACUUCUGCAAUGACUGCAAUAUUCCUGAAUGAAGCCCCAUCGACCCUGGAAUGACUUUAAUGAUAUUGGGAUUGGGCUAGUGACAUUGUGAUCAUAAUGAUUUGAUAUGCGCUUCCAGUAGGUUCUCAUGCUUUCAUCAGUGACUACUAUUGGAUCAAGACUAACACUCUCCCACACGAGGACCAAUGCUUUGUCCUCGUCGUUGUUGAAGUUGCUUUGUCUUUUCUUUGGUACGGAACUCAAUUCUUUGUCACCCUCAGCAGGAGUGGAGAAUGACAUGUCAUCUAUGCCUACCACAUUGUUCAUCAACUCCAUAUAUAAAUGAUGACUACAAUAUCGUAAUUUUGAAUGGUUGGGCAUAUGCGGUUGUGUAGCCUAACGACCCGAGUUCAAUUCCUAGAAUUGACAGGUGAUGCACAAGGGUUUUCCCCCAUUUAUUAAUGAUCAAGUUUGGUGUGUGGUGGAACCACUCAUCAAAAAAGUAUCUUGAUACUCAUUUAAAAAAUUUUGAGGACCAUGUUUAUAUUGGUACUCAUACUAAAAUGGCCACAUGCAUCCCUAGUUGGUGCAGAGGCCGGGGAAGUGAAAUAUUCCCCCAUUUUUAACUGCAAAGAGAGCCUUGGCUCAGUGGUUGGGCAUGCGGUUGUGGAGCCUAACGACCCGAGUUUAAUUCCAAGAAUUGACAGGUGAUGCACAGGGGUUUCCCCCAUUUACUAAGGAUCAACUUUGGUGUAUAGUGAAACCACUCACCAAAAAUAUCUUGAUACUCAUUUAAAAAAUUCUGAGGACCAUGUUUAUCUUGGUACUCAUACUAAAAUGGCCAUAUGCAUCCCUAGUUGGUGCAGAGGCCGGGGAAGUGAAAUUCUCCCUAAUUUUAUAGACAGAAGUCCAAAGCAUCGUUUAGAUACCCCCGCGUCGUCCUCCCCCUAGGGCGACUCGGGCGGCUAGAAACCUAGCCGCAGCCGCCGCAAACUCCCUCCUCCUCUCCCUCCUCCGUCGCCAGAAGACGUCGCUGGGCUAAGCCCGGGGGCCGACGGCGGUGGCGGGGGAUCUCCUCUCUCGCGCGUCUCCGGGGUGGGGCAAACCCCAAGGCAUGUGGUGGUGCGACCGAUCUGGGAUCUGCGGCGCGACGGAUGGCUGUAGGCGGCGGGAGGCCGGCCCGUCCUCGGACGGCGACGGCUUGGCGCGGCGGCGGCUGGGGUCGGCGGCGGCCGGCUUGGCUGCGGUGGUGUACAUGUUGCCUUCAGAUCGGCAACGGCGGCGUGGAGGGCAUGAUGGUCUCGUCGGCGGCACCUCCGCUCAGAUCUGUUCUGACCGGUGCAGCCGGCGGUGGUGGUCAUCUCUUCCGUCAGAGGUGGUCGGCCUGAGGUUGGGUGUUUGGAUCUCGGGAUCCGUCAUCUAGCACCAGCUGCGAGUCGGGGAGACGUAGUUGCCGGUGAAAACCGAGCCAAUGGCGGGCGAUGGCGGCGUUCCACGUCGUUACCUUGAUGAAGGCAUCGUCAUGUGACAACCGUCGACCCACUCAUAUUGCUCCAGGGGAAACCCUAGGAUCUGGUGUUCCAGACCGGACAAUGGCGGCACUGCAGUGUCGUUUCUCUCUUGGAAGCACCGCUUUGUGGAGCAGGCUGGAAGUCAGAGGCAGGAGGUGGAGCGGCUUCGUCUUGCACGGAGCUUCGGUGGAGAUGUCAAGUCAUGCCUGACCGACAGGUGCUACACUUGGUCAUGACUGGUCGGCAGGUGCUACGCACGACAGAUCCUCCAAGGGCUUUAAGCUGUGUCGGCUAGUGGUACUUGGCAGCAUGGCGCUGAGGUUUAUCAGUGGCGACCGCGACGUGUUCAGCUGUUUGCGCAUAGGUAGGAGGUGCCGUUGGGCGCCGUGGUGGCGUCGACGAUAGCUGGACCAAGCAAGGUUGAUGCAUCAGUACAGUUCUGAAGAUGGAGCGGUGGCAGUUGGCGGCGACGGCCUCUGAGAGCACGUCGGACCAGUGUGUGCCAGACCCGGCAAGUGGCUAGGUUGGGGUCUCAGGUCUUAGAUGUUAGGCUUGGCUGCGAUAUCUGUUUGGUAUUAGGCCCACGCUAUCUGCGCCCCUUCAUCAACUGGAUAGGUGUAGCGACAGUUCGUUGCUUAGACGAUGGCUUUAGUUUUACUGUUGCAUGACUUUGUAAGGUCUUGUGAGAAUAAUUAAUAAAGUGGUCGUAUGCAUCGUCCAGAUGCAGAGGCCGGGGGUCAUCCUCCUUUUCUAAAAAAACAAAUAAGCACUAUAACAAAUCACGUGUACAAUGAUCAUGUGAAGUACACAAUAUAUUUACCUAUCAAAUCAUCAUCGUAGACAUCGUUGGCGUUCGACCAAGUAAUCAUCCUCGUUUGUGUAGGGCGAUGGCAUGUUUGUGUACGUCACCGUACAUAUUUGCGGCGAAGACGAUGACAACAUGAUGUGAAGUACACAAUAUAUUUACCUAUCAAAUCAUCAUCGUAGACAUCGUUGGCGUUCGACCAAGUAAUUAUCCUCGUUUUUGUAGGGCGAUGGCAUGUUUGUGUACGUCACCGUACAUAUUUGCGGCGAAGACGAUGACAACAUGAUGUGAAGUACACAAUAUAUAAUCAUCAUCGUAGACAUCGUUGGUGUUCGACCAAGUAAUCAUCCUCGUUUGUGUAGGGCGAUGUCAUGUUUGUGUACGUCACCGUAUAUAUUUGCGGCGAAGACGAUGACAACAUGAAGGGGAGCUGGCCGAUACAACACCGCUCUUCGUCUUCCUCAGAGCAUGAGGCUUCUUCGGCGCGGUCGAAGAUACGUGGCAGGAGACGGCAGGGGGCGAUCUUGAUCGACGACUGCCACAGACUUGCGGCUCCUCUUGGCUGCGCCCUCUUGCCCGACGACAAUGGCGGCCAGCGAUGGAAGCAGCGGGGCCGCAUUGGCACUUGGAGGCGAAGGAAAGGAGGCCGUGGCGGCGUCUGACACUCAUGCGGCAGCAGCGGUGAUCUAUGAGGAAGACACUCUUCUUUUUCGCAAUGGUACCUUUCAAUUAUUUGAGAAGGGCCCGUUCAUAGAAGCAUCGAUGUUAGAAGGCAUGACUAGGUACUUUUCAAUUCAGAAUUCAUUAUGAACUUUUAGUAUAUCUUUAACUUCUUGACGGAUAAGAUUAGGGCAACUCUUGCUUAAGAAAAUAGAAGAUUAAUUUGGUGUGGGUGCGUUGUUCGGAACCUGGUAUAAAGAGUAAGAGCAACUCCAACCGGGCGAUCGAAAAGAGGUACCCUUUGUCCGCAUUUUGUUCGUUUGGGUCGACCCUGCGGACAUUCAUAUCCGCUUCCGCUUUGGGAUGGCGCUUGCGUCCAAUGCUGGCCCGACACAUUUUUAAGGUCGCGGAUGAAAAAGUCAAUAACACAAAUAUUGUGAAAUUAAAAAUGUAAUUAAACAUAAAUGCUGACCACAAAGGCUGGCGAGAGUCCACACAUCCACAUUUUACAUUAAUUAAAAACAUUUAAUAAAACUAAAAACGAGGAAGAGGCGCACUGCCUUAGGAGUCCUCGUCGUCGGUGUCGGGGCCGGUGAGGUUGGCGAGCAUCGGCGCCGGGCCAGCCCAGGGGAACGCCGCCUUGCAGGCUGUGGCGACGUCCUGCAGCGCAGGCGUGACCGCCGCUGGCUGGGCUGCACGGGCCCGACGCUCCUCCUCCUCCGCCUCCGUCACUUCUCCCCCGUGUCACGCUCCCACUGCUCAAGGCGCUCGCCCUAGGUGCCCCUCAUAUCCCCUCCAUCAGCCAACGCUUUCGCCAUCAGCCAGCGCUUUCGCCAUUACUCAAGGCAUAUCUCGAUGGGCACAGAUAAAGGGGAUAUGAGGGGCACCUAGGUGCUUCAUGGGACGCGCGCGUUGCUGCGAUGGAGGCGUUGGGGACGGGGACGGGGCCGGAGCCUUGAGUGUCGCUGCCAUAGCCCGCAUGUUUCAUGGGUAAAUCCUAGGAUACAUCAGGCGAUCUGCUCACUAGUAUUGCAACAUAACCGCUGUUGCAGAAACUUAGUCGGUGUUGUAGAAACAUAGUUGCUUCAAAAACAUCCCUCGUGCUUCAACAAGAACGACGGAGCAGUGGGAGCGUUGCGAGGACGAGCGCCUUGAGCAGUGGGAGCGUGACACGGGGGAGAAGUGACGCGAGGCGGAGGAGGAGGAGCGUCGGGCCCGCGCAGCCCAGCCAGCGGCGGUCACGCCUGCGCUGCAGGACGUUGCCACAGCCUGCAAGACGGCGUUCCCCUGGGCUGGCCCGGCGCCGAUGCUCGUCAACCUCACCGGCCCCGACACUGGCGAGGAGGACUCCUAAGGCAGUGCGCCUCUUCCUUGUUUUUAGUUUUAUUAAAUGUUUUUAAUUAAUGUAAAAUGUGGAUGCGUGGACUCUUGCCAGCCUUUGUGGUCAGCAUUUAUGUUUAAUUACAUUUUUAAUUUCGCAAUAUUUGUGUUAAUGACUUUUUCAUCUGCGACCUUGAAAAUGUGUCGGGCCAGCAUUGGACGCAAGCGCCGUCCCAAAGCGGAAGCGGAUAUGAAUGUCCGCUGGGCCGACCCAAACGAACAAAAUGCAGACAAAGGGUGCCUCUGUUUCUAUCGCCCGGUUGGAGUUGCUCUUACUCUUUAUACCAGGUCCGAACAACGCACCCACACCAAACUAAUCUUCUAUUUCUUAAGCAAGAGUUGCCCUAAUCUUAUCCGUCAAGAAGUUAAAGAUAUACUAAAAGUUCUCAAUGAAUUCUGAAUUGAAAAGUACCUAGUCAUGCCUUCUAACAUCGAUGCUUCUAUGAACGGGCCCUUCUCAAAUAACUGAAAGGUACCAUUGCGAAAAAGGAGAGUGUCUUCCUGAUAGAUCACCGCUGCUGCCGCAUGAGUGUCAGACGCCGCCAUGGCCUCCUUUCCUCCGCCUCCAAAUGCCAAUGCGGCCCCCGCUGCUUCCAUCGCUGGUCGCCGUUGUCGUCGGGCAAGAGGGCGCAGCCAAGAGGAGCUGCAAGUCUGUGGCAGUCGUCGAUCAAGAUCGUCCCCCUGCCGUCUCCCGCCACGUAUCUUCGACCGCGUCGAAGAAACCUCAUGCUCUGAGGAAGACGAAGAAUGGUGUUGCAUCGGCCAGCUCCCCUUCAUGUUGUCAUGGUCUUCGCCGUAAAUAUAUACGGGGACGUACACAAACGUGCCAUCGCCCUACACAAACGAGGAUGAUUACUUGGCCGAACGCCAAUGAUGUCUACGAUGAUGAUUUGAUAGGUAAAUAUAUUGUGUACUUCACAUCAUGUUGUCAUCGUCUUCGCCGCAAAUAUGUACGGUGACGUACAAAAACAUGCCAUCGCCCUACACAAACGAGGAUGAUUACUUGGUCGAACGCCAACGAUGUCUAUGAUGGUGAUUUGAUAGGUAAAUAUAUUGUGUACUUCACAUCAUGUUGUCAUCGUCUUCGCGGCAAAUAUGUACGGUGACAUACACAAACAUGCCAUCGCCCUACACAAACGAGGAUGAUUACUUGGUCGAACGCCAAUGAUGUCUACGAUGAUGAUUUGAUAGGUAAAUAUAUUGUGUACUUCACACGAUCAUUGUACACAUGAUUAGUUAUAGUGCUUAUUUGUUUUUUUAGAAAAGGAGGAUGACCCCUGGUCUCUGCAUCUGGUCGAUGCAUACGGCCACUUUAUUAAUUAUUCUCACAAGACUUUACAAAGUCAUGCAACAGUAAAACUAAAGCCGCCGUCUAAGCAACAAACUAUCGCUACACCUAUCCAGUUGAUGAAGGGGUGCAGAUAGCCUGGGCCUAAUACUAAACAGACAUCGCAGCCAAGCCUAACAUCUAAGACCUGAGACCCCAACCUAGCCACUUGCCGGGUCUGGCACACACUGGUCCGGCAUGCUCUUAGAGGCCGCCGCCGUCAACUGCCACCGCUCCAUCUUCAGAAUUGUACUGAUGCAUCAACGUUGCUCGGUCCAGCUACGUCGACACCACCACGGCGCCAAACGACACCUCCUCCCUACACGCAAAUAGCUGAACACGUCGCGGUCGCCAUUGGUACACCUCAGCGCCAUGCUGCCAAGUACCACCAGCCGACACAGCUUGAAGCCCUUGGAGGAUCUGUCAUACAUAGCACCUGCCGACCAGGCAUGACCAAGUGUAGCACCUGUCGGUCAGGCAUGACUUGACAUCUUCACCGAAGCUCCGUGCAAGACGAAGCUGCUCUACCUCCUGCCUCUGACUUCCAGCCUGCUCCACAAAAUAAUGCUCCCAAGAGAAAAACGACACCGCAAUGCCGCCAUCGUCCAGUCUGGAACACCAGAUCCUAGGGUUUCCCCCGGAGCAAUACGAGUGGGUCGACGGUAGUCACAUGACGACGCCUUCAUCAAGGUAACGACGUGGAACGCCGCCAUCGCCCGCCGUUGGCUCGGUUUUCACCAGCAACUACAUCUCCCCGACUCGCAGCUGGUGCUAGAUGACGGAUCCCGAGAUCUGAACACCCAGCCUCAGGCCGACCACCUCUGACGGAAGAGAUGACCACCACCGCCGGCUGCACCAGUCAGAACAGAUAUGACCGGAGGUGCCGCCGACGAGACCAUCAUGCCCUCCACGCCGCCGUCGCCGAUCUGAAGGCAGCAUGCACGCCACCCCUACUACUCCCGUCAUCCAAGCAAAAAGGCCACCUGGAAGGAGAGGAUAGAAAAAUAAACGAAAGAAUGAAGACGAUGCAGGUGUGUUCAAGUGUAUUGUGGAAGAUAUAUGGAUAGACGGGUAGAGGAGGAAGUGGUGGCGUAUUUUUACAUCUAAAGGCUGGACUGUAGUAUACAUUACUUUUUAUCGCCAUAUUGCAUGCUAGUUCACCGGGCUGCCGUGUUUCACACUCCUCCGUCGCACUAGUACUCAAGUGGAAAACUAGAGUAUGCUGCAUGGUUCUUUGCUCCUACUUAGGUCAUCAACAACAAUUAUAUUUCCUUUCACCGACAUGUGCGAUAGUCAGCAUCCUUUCGCCGAAAUUGGAGAAGGUCAUGAGGUGGGACAGAGCUGAAGGUAAUGGAGGAGCACAAAGUGACAAUCGAAGAAGAGAAACUGAGAGCCUUUCAAGAGGAAGUGCAGACAAAAAAGAUGGAGCAAGUGUACAAGAUCAUGUUGCGGACUUGACCCAGAAGCGAUGCAAUAUCUACAGAUCAUGAACUCACAAAUUUUAGCAUCAAAGCUGGAUUUUGACAGGGUUUUGGGACUAGCAACGGUGGUGGAAGUCAAUCGUGAUGAUCUACGACUGAUCUUCAUAUUUAUCAUUUUCUUUUGUUUAUGUCCUUCUUUUCAUGAACCAUAUAUCGCAUGUUUCAUCUUCAUGUUUGAACCAUUUGAUUAAGCCUAUUUCGGAUUUAUUAUGUUUGAAUUAUUAUCAACUAUACGCGAGUUUGAUCUUUUUUGGCGAAUACGCAGAGGAUGUGUAUCUCUGCAUUGAUAGGAGAAGACUUUUACAGCAUGGGGUUACAAGAGCUCACUAAGCCAUGUCCGCAAGAAGGCACAGAAGUUAACUAGGAGCAGAACAAACAUGGGGGUGCUCAGCCCCACCAGCCUACAUAGCUAUCCCUCGGGAAUGAUGUUGUGCAGUCCGGUCUACCAUUGUUUUAGUUAUUACGAUCAUAUUUAGGCAUAUGCAUGUGUAAUUUGCAUUUUUGUUUAAUGAAAAAUAGAAGAACGAAAUAAGUUUACAGAAUCUGACAAAAGUAGCUCUCAGAAAACUUGCACUGUUAUUUAUUUACAAACAUCUCGUAAAACCAGUUUUAUACUCCCUCUGUUUCUAAAUAUAACACUUUUUAGAGAUUUCAAUACGGACUACAUAUAAAUGUAUAUAGACAUUUUUUAAAGUGUAGAUUCACUUAUCUUGCUCCGUAUAUAGUUCAUAUUGAAAUCUUUGAAAGGACUUAUAGUUAGGAACAGAGGGAGUACAAGGUUUUUCAAGAGAGGCGUUGGAGUUGCUCUAACUUACGUGCACAUGAAAUCAAUUUAUAUAUCUAUACCCCUUAAUAAUAAAGGAGCUAUUGCUUCUGGCGGUACGUCAUCGAAAUCGCACUCAAAUUUGCAAAAUAUUAUUCACCAGUGUCACCUAUAAGUGAAAAAUAUAUAUUUCACACAGCGGAAUCCCAGCCCGGCCCAUGUAAUAGGAACAGUCUAAACUGCGCUCUGUGCGCUAGGAGAAGACACAACACGCUGUUUGGGCCGGCCCAUGCCUUGGCAGCCUAUUUUUUAAAUUUCGUUUUGAUUUUCCAUCUUUGCUUUUUCUACAUUAAAUAAUAUGGAAAUUAAAAAAAUUCCAAAAAUUAAGAAAAUGAGAAUUUUGAGAUAAAAUGUUUAGCAAUUCGUAAAUGUUUGUGGAUUUCAAAAAAUGUUCGCGUAAUCAAAAAAUGUUCGCCAUUUUGAAAACAAAUGUUCGGAAUCAAAAAAUGUUCAUAAUUUUUUAAAUGUUUAAAAAUGUUAAUGAAAUUAAAGAAACUUUGGUCAAGUCAAAACAAUAUUCAUGAAUUGAAAAUAUCCUUAAAAUUCGAAAAACUAUUCGUAACUUGCAAAAUAGUUUGUUGAUGCAUAAAACGUUUGCUAAUUCAAAAUAUGAUCAUGCAUUUAAAAAACAUCAAAUCAAAAAAUUGUGAAUUUCAAAAAACAUCUAGUUCAAGAGGUAAGUGACAUGUUUUACCAUAAACCAUUUUAUAUGGAGACAUACCAUAGGAUUUUUGUAUGCAGUUCUAUAAGCCCAUAAUGCAUCAUCAAGUUUCUUGGACCAAUUCUUUCUAGAUCUAUUAACAGUCUUUUGCAAAAUUAAUUUAAGCUCUCUAUUGCUAAGUUCUACUUGACCACUAGACUGUGGAUGAUAUGGACGUGCAAUUCUAUGAUUAACAUCAUACUUAGCAAGCAUUUUACAAAAAGCACCAUGAAUAAAAUAUGAACCACCAUCAGUCAUUAAGUAUCUAGGGAUUCCAAACCUUGAAAAAAUAACUUCUUUAAGCAUCUUAAUAGAGGUGUUAUGAUCAGCACUACUAGUUGGAAUAGCUUCUACCCACUUAGUAACGUAAUCAACAAUAACUAAAAUAUGAGUAUACCCAUUAGAGGAAGGAAAAGGUCCCAUAUAAUCAAAGCCCCAAACAUCAAAUGGUUCAAUAAUAAGUGAAUAGUUCAUAGGCAUUUCUUGACGUCUACUAAUAUUACCAAUUCUUUGACAUUCAUCACAAGACAAGACAAACUUACGGGCAUCCUUGAAGAGAGUAGGCCAAUAAAAACCGGAUUGCAAUACCUUAUGUGCAGUUCUGUCUCCAGCAUGGUGUCCUCCAUAAGCCUCGGAGUGACACUUGCGUAGGAUAUGUUCCUGUUCAUGCUCGGGUACACAACGUCUAAUAACACCAUCUACUCCUUUAUAAAGAUGUGGGUCAUUCCAGAAGUAAUGUCUUAAAUCAUAGACUAACUUUUUCUUUUGUUGGUAUGUGAAACUAGGUGGUAUAAAUUUAGCAACAAUGUAAUUAGCAUAAUCAGCAUACCAUGGAGAGGUACGAGAAGCAUUUAUGACAGCUAAUUGUUCAUCAGGAAAGCUAUCAUCAAUAGGUAGUGGGUCAUCAAGAACAUUCUCUAACCUAGACAAGUUGUCUGCAACGGGGUUCUCAGCUCCCUUUCUAUCAAUAUAUGCAAAUCAAAUUCUUGUAGCAAGAGAACCCAUCUAAUAAGUCUAGGUUUAGCAUCUUUCUUUUCCAUAAGAUAUUUAAUAGCAGCAUGAUCAGUGUGAACGGUUACUUUAAAAUCAACAAUAUAAGGUCUGAACUUAUCUCAAGCAAAUACAACUGCUAAAAAUUCUUUUUCAGUAGUAGCAUAAUUUCUUUGGGCAGUGUCUAGAGUUUUACUAGCAUAUUGAAUAACAUUUAAUUUCUUAUCAACUCUUUGUCCUAGAACAGCCCCUACAGCAUAAUCACUAGCAUCACACAUAAUUUCAAAGGGUAAAUUCCAAUCAGGAGGUUGAACAAUAGGUGUAGAAAUCAAAGCUUUCUUAAGUAUUUCAAAUGCUUCUACACAAUCAUCAUCAAAGACAAAAGGAACAUCUUUUUGUAGGAGAUUAGUCACAGGCUGAGAAAUUUUAGAAAAGUCCUUAAUGAACCUCCUAUAAAAACCGGCAUGACCAAGGAAACUUCUUAUACCUUUAAUGUCCUUGGGACACGGCAUCUUUUCAAUAGCAUCAACUUUAGCUUUAUCAAAUUCAAUACCUCUUUCAGAAAUUUCAAUUCAAGACAAGAUUAGUUUCUUUACAUCUCUGCAAAACUCGAUCAAGGUUGCUUAAGAAAUCAUCAAAAGAAGUUCCGCAAACGGAGAAAUCAUCCAUGAAUAUCUCAGCAAUCUUUUCACAAAAGUCAGAGAAUAUAACAGUCAUACAUCUUUGAAAGGUAGCAGGUGCAUUACAUAAACCAAAAGGCAUACGUCUAUAAGCAAAGGUACCGAAAGGGCAAGUAAAAGUUGUCUUUUCUUGAUCCUCUUUUGACACAGGUAUUUGAGAGAAACCAGAAUAACCAUCUAGAAAGCAAAAAUGUGUAUGCUUGGAUAAUCUUUCUAGCAUUUGAUCAAUAAAAGGUAAAGGGUAAUGAUCCUUUUUAGUGGCUUUAUUUAAUUUACGGAAAUCUAUUACCAUUCCAUAACCUGUAACAAUUCUUUGUGGGAUCAAUUCAUCUUUAUCAUUAGGAACAACAGUAAUACCUCCCUUCUUAGGGAAACAAUGGACAGGACUUACCCACUGACUAUCAGCAACGGGAUAAAUUAUACCUGCCUCCAGAAGCUUUAGUAUUUCUUUUCUUACCACUUCUUUCAUCUUAGGAUUUAACCGUCGUUGGUGAUCAACAACCGGUUUAGCAUCCUUCUCCAAUUUCAUUUUGUGCUGGCAUAGAGUGGGACUAAUGCCCUUAAGAUCAUCAAGAGUAUAUCUAAUAGCAGCACGGUGCUUCUUCAGAGUUUUCAAUAACUUCUUUUCUUCAUGCUCUGAAAGGUUAGCACUAAUAAUAACAGAAUAUAUCUCUUUCUCAUCAAGAUAAGCAUAUUUGAGUGUAUCAGGUAAAGGUUUAAGCUCAAACACAGGAUCACCCUUGGGUGGAGGAGGAUCCCCUAGAAUUUCAACAGGAAAGUUGUGCUUCAAAAUAGGUCCCUGUUUAAAGAAUACUUCAUCUAUUUCUCUUCUUCCAUUCAUAAACAUAUCAUUUUCAUGGUCUAGCAAAUAUUGUUCUAAAGGAUCAACAGGAGGCAUGGCAAUGGAAGCAAGACCAAUAAUUUCAUCUUUACUAGGCAAUUCUUUAUCAUGGGGUUUUCUAUGAAAUUUAGCAAAAUUAAACUCAUGAGACAUAUCCCCUAAACCAACAGAAACAAUAUCCUUAUUGCAGUCUAUCUUAGCAUUAACAGUAUUCAAGAAGGGUCUACCAAAUAUAAUGAGACAAAAUUCAUCUUUUGGGGAACCAAGAACAAGAAAAUUAGCAGGAUAUUUGACUUCCCCACACAAGACUUCAACAUCUAACAAUCCCAACCGGUGAAAUAGUAUCUCUAUUUGCAAGCUUAAUUGUAACAUCAAUCUCUUCUAUCUCAGUAGGUGCAAUAUCAUGCAUAAUUUCUUUGUAUAAGGAAUGAGGUAUUGCACUUGCACUAGCACCCAUAUCACAUAAGCCAUGAUAGUAAUGAUCUCCUAUUUUAACAGAAAUAGCAGACAUGCCUACAACAGGUCUAUGUUUAUUUUUAGUAUCAGGUCUAGCAAUUCUAGCAGAUUCAUUGCAGAAGUAAAUAACCUGCCCAUCAAUAUUAUCGGCCAAGAGAUCUUUAACCAUAGCAACACUAGGUUCAACCUUAAUUUGCUCAGGAGGUUUGGGUGCCUUAAUAUUACUUUUGUUGACCACAGUUGAAGCUUUAGCAUGAUCCUUUAUUCUAACAGGGAAAGGUGGUUUCUCAAUAUAAGCAGUAGGAACAACAGGAUCAUUAUAAGUGAUAGUCUUUUCUUCAACUUUAAUAGGUGCAACUACUUUUACUUCAAUGGGAGGAUUAUAUUUAAACCACUUCUCCUUAGGGAGAUCAACAUGAGUAGCAAAGGAUUCACAGAAAGAAGCUACUAUCUCAGAGUCAAGUCCAUAUUUAGUGCUAAAUUCACGAAAAGCGUCGGUAUCCAUAAAAGAUUUAACACAAUCAAACUUAGGUGUUAUACCUGACUCCUUACCUUCGUCGAGGUCCCAAUCUUCAGAGUUGCGUUUAAUUCUUUCCAAUAAAUCCCAUUUGAAUUCAAUAGUCUUCAUCAUAAAAGAUCUAGUACAAGAAGUAUCGAGCAUGAAGCGAUUACUGAGAGAAAGCCGAGCAUAAAUUUUUUGAAUAAUCAUUUCUUUUGAGAGCUCAUGAUUGGGGCAUGAAUAUAACAUUGACUUAAGCCUCCCCAUGCUUGAGCGAUGCUUUCUCCUUCGUGAGGCCAAAAAUUAUAUAUAUAAUUACGAUCACGAUGAACAAGAUGCAUAGGAUAAAACUUCUGAUGAAAUUACAAUUUCAAUCGUUGGCAGUUCCAUGAUCCAAUAUCAUCACAUAGCUUCAACCAUGUCAAUGCAUCUCCCUUCAAAGAUAAAGGCAAUACCUUCUUCUUGAUAACAUCCUCGGGCAUACCUACAAGCUUAAAUAAUCCACAAACUUGAUCCACAUAGAUUAGGUGCAAAUCGGGAUGUAAUGUUCCAUCACCUGUUAAAGUAUUAGCUAGCAGUUUCUCUAUCAUACCCGAAGGAAUUUCAAAGUAAACAUUUUCAGUAGGUUCAGUAGGUUGAGGACCAACUCUUUGCUCUACUGGUUGGGGUGAAGAUACCCCGAACAAGCCCUUCAAAGGAUUAUGUUCCAUAGUAACAAGUGACUGUAAAUUUCAGCACACUAUAUAAAUUUUUCCUUACCAAAUUCCACCUACCAAAGGCGCUUCACUCCCCGGCAACGGCGCCAGAAAAGAGUCUUGAUGACCCAUACGUGUAGGGGAUUAUCGUAGCCUUUUCGAUAAGUAAGAGUGUCGAACCCAACGAGGAGCAGAAGGAAAUGAUAAACGGUUUUCGGCUAGGUAUUUUCUGCAAGCACUGAAAUUAUCGGUAAAAAAUAGUUUUGUGAUAAGGUAAUUGGUAAUGGGUAACAAAUAGUAAAAGUAAAUAAGGUGCAACAAGAUGGCCCAAUCAUUUUUGUAGAAAAGGACAAGCCUGGACAAACUCUUAUAUAAAGUAAAGCACUCCCGAGGACACAUGGAAAUUAUCGUCAAACUAGUUUUCAUCACGUUCAUAUGAUUCGUGUUCGGUACUUUGAUAAUUCGAUAUGUGGGUGGACCGGUGCUUGGGUACUGCCCUUACUUGGACAAGCAUCCCACUUAUGAUUAACCCCUAUUGCAAGCAUCCGCAACUACAACAGAAGUAUUAAGGUAAACCUAACCAUAGCAUGAAACAUAUGGAUCCAAAUCAGCCCCUUACGAAGCAACGCAUAAACCAGGGUUUAAGCUUUUAUCACUCUAGCAACCCAUCAUCUAAUUAUUACUUCCCGAUGCCUCUCUCUAUGCCCAAAUAUGAAGGAAAUUUGCCCUAGAGGCAAUAAUAAAGUUAUUAUUUAUUUCCUUAUUUCAUGAUAAAUGUUUAUUAUUCAUGCUAGAAUUGUAUUAACCGGAAACAUAAUACAUGUGUGAAUACAUAGACAAACAGAGUGUCACUAGUAUGCCUCUACUUGACUAGCUCGUUGAUCAAAGAUGGUUAAGUUUCCUAACCAUAGACAUGAGUUGUCAUUUUAUUAAUGGUAUCACAUCAUUAGGAGAAUGAUGUGAUUGACUUGACCCAUUCCGUUAGCUUAGCACUUGAUCGUUUAGUUUGUUGCUAUUGCUUUCUUCAUGACUUAUACAUGUUCCUAUGACUAUGAGAUUAUGCAACUCCCAUUUACCGUAGGAACACUUUGUGUGCCACCAAACGUCACAACAUAACUAGGUGAUUAUAAAGGUGCUCUACAGGUGUCUCCAAAGGUACUUGUUGGGUUGGUGUAUUUCGAGAUUAGGAUUUGUCACUCCGAUUGUCGGAGAGGUAUCUCUGGGCCCACUCGGUAAUGCACAUCACUAUAAGCCUUGCAAGCAUCGUAACUAAUGAGUUAGUUGCGGGAUGAUGUAUUAUGGAAUUAAAGAGACUUGCCGGUAACGAGAUUGAACUAGGUAUUGAGAUACCGACGAUCGAAUCUCGGGCAAGUAACAUACCGAUGACAAUGGGAACAACGUAUGUUGUUAUGCGGUCUGACCGAUAAAGAUCUUCGUAGAAUAUGUAGGAGCCAAUAUGGGCAUCCAGGUCCCGCUAUUGGUUAUUGACCAGAGAGGUGUCUCGGUCAUGUCUACAUAGUCCUCGAACCCGUAGGGUCCGCACGCUUAACGUUCAUUGACGAUAUAGUACUAUAUGAGUUAUGUAUGUUGAUGACCGAAUGUUGUUCGGAGUUCAGGAUGAGAUCACGGGCAUGACGAGGAACUCCGGAAUGGUCCAGAGAUAAAGUUUGAUAUACGGGAUAAUAGUGUUUGGUCACCAGAAGGGUUCCGGAAUUCACCGGAAGGGGUUCCGGAUGUUUCCCGAAAUGUUUGGGUACGAGAACACUUUAUUUGGGCCAAAGGGGAAAGCCCACAAGGUUUUUGGAAAGCGCAAAAGGAAGUUUUGCGGAGUCCAGGGGCCAGACGCCCAGGUCCCUAGUGUCUGGGUCCAGACGCCGAGAAACCUUGCGUCUGGCCCUGGAGUCCGAGAAGGACUCUUGCAUUUCGGGUGAAACCGACUUUGUGGAGGCUUUUACUCCAAGUUUCGACCCCAAGGCUCAACAUAGAAAUAGAGGGGUAGGGCUAGCACCCAAGACAGAUCAAGAAACACCAAGCCGUGUGCCGGCAACCCCGUCCCCUCUAGUUUAUCCUCCGUCCUAGUUUUCGUAGUGCUUAGGCGAAGCCCUGCAGAGAUUGUUCUUCACCAACACCGUCACCACGCCGUCGUGCUGUCGGAACUCAUCUACUACUUCGCCCCUCUUGCUGGAUCGAGAAGGCGAGGACGUCACCGAGCCGAACGUGUGCAGAACUCGGAGGUGUCGUGCUUUCGGUACUUGGAUCGGUCAGAUCGUGAAGACGUACGACUACAUCAACCGUGUUGAUAUAACGCUUCCGCGAACGGUCUACGAGGGUACAUAGACAACACUCUCCCCUAUCGUUGCUAUGCAUCACCAUGAUCUUGCAUGUGCGUAGGAAAUUUUGAAAUUACUACGUUCCCAAUAAAAUAAUGGUGAAGUGUCAUGUAGUCGACAUUCACAUAACACCACUAGAGGGAUGACAACAUACAUCUCAUCAAAAUAUCGAACGAAUACCAAAUUCACAUGACUACCACUACUUGGAAAAGGCCUACUAAUGGCGCACCAGUUUUGCCUACUAAUGGCGCAUCACUGGUGCGCCAUUAGUAUCACGCCACUAGUAUUUAUUACUAAUGGCGCACCACUGGUGCGUCAUUAGUAUCUGGUAUACUAAUGGUGCACCACCAUGCGCCAUUAGUAUGCCUCCCGGGGGCGAUAUUUAACCAUGUGCUUUGGCACACUAAUGGCGCACUGCGGAUGGAUGCGCCAUUAGUAUACUUGGCAUACUAAUGACGCACUGUUUGGUGAUGCGCCAUUAGUAUACUUUGGCAUACUAAUGGCGCACUCUGUAGUGAUGCGCCAUUAGUAUGAAUAUUAGGUUUUUUUUACUUUUCUGAUUUUUGCACAGGUUACAAAAUAUAUUAUUUGACAGAAUAUAGACAGUAGCACAUAGCAACAGCAGAUUCAUCGAAUACAAUAGAAGAUUAGUCUCCGAAUACAAUUCAUCAUAUUAGUCUCUGAAUUCAAAAGACCGAACAAAGAUAAAACGUUACAAGUCUCGAGACCACGAGUAUUGAGUUUUUCUUCACAUUACAAGUCGAUAUCGAUCAUCUAAACUACCAUCACAUAGAAGAGAGUUGCGGUCAUCAUGAUGAGCAUCAUCGUGAUGAAACUGGUCUUCAUCCGGUUCCUCCAACGCUCCCUCCUCUCUCCUGCUAGACAGCGGGCGUAUCUAGAUUCCGCCUCCGCCCUAGUGGUGUACCCUUUGUAAAUGUUACCGCUGAAAUGGUGAACCUGUCUCCGACACUCCUCCCAGUCGUCGUAGACUCCGGGAACCUUACCCUUGUACACGACAUACGACGGCAUCUCUAUGCACAAGCCAAACAACAUACAAUACAUACAUAAGCAAUAUAUAAGUAUGCAACAAAAGGAUCGGAAGAGAAAAGCAAGACAUUAAUAGCACGAUUCAUGGUCCUACUAAUAAAUAGCAUCGAUUACAUCUAAGUUGAACGACUGUCCAAACCAAAGAGACAUACAAUUCAUUAAAGUUUAAUUACAACAUGAGCCAAUCAAUGUUUCAGAACUACACAUCGUUACUUUCGACUCGACUCAUGGACAGGAGCGUGGAUGAAGCCGCCGUCUGUCGUGAUGGUCAUGAAAUCGCGGGCGUUUUCAGCCUGCAUUUGUAGCAUUCCGUCUAUCUCAAUGUUGGACGGUUGAUAUCUAAGGAAGAACUGCCCCGAGGUAUGAAGGACAUCUUGAUGGAUGAUAUCCGCAAACUCCGACUGGAUGCGAAAGAAUUCUUGUCUGAUGUUCGCGUCCUGGAUUGCCGACAAGCUCGCGGCCCAAUCUUUGAGAUUAUUUGGUAGCAGAAGGUGAUGAUGGUCCCUUACGAUCGCCUGCAUGUGAUGGAGGGCGUAGUAGGCAUCCUUUUGACCGCCAGGCGGCUGCUUGACGCAGCAGAAUGUCGUAUUGUGGGCGAACACGUGCUUGCCGUACUUACGAACUGCCCUGGUGAAGGUGCCUCCAGAUUUAGCGUAGCCGGGGAGAACAUUAUCAAGAACUUUCUUGAUAUUUGUGUAGUCUAUCUUGGAGUUACAGUUCGGGUCGAAAUACGUGGCCAUGGAAUAUUUCGGGCUUAAGAGGAUGAGUGUGCAAUGUGUGUCACUGCACAGAACACGGAAUGUUAGAAAAAAAGAACAAUCGAAAUCUAAGAAAUCAUAUGUUACGGGGCGGUUAAGGGAUGACUUACUCGGGAAAGUAAGCCACAAGGAAGUUAUCCUUAUCUGGGUUUGCCAGAAUGACGUCUUCGAGGUGUGAACUCGCGACUUGGCGAUCCCCAGCGCUGCUCAAGAGCUUGGCACGCAUGUAGAAGGGGUCGACGAUCACGAUGUCCGGGGUCUUGUCUCUAAUGAUCCGCAUCUCCAUACUCAGCGAAAACAGCCGAACGAAGGUGUAGUGCAGCGGAUGAAGGUUAAACAUAGCAAAGAUGUCAUCAAACCGCAGGACGAUCGUACCCCCGAUGUCGCCAUCCACAAAGCCCUUACCCUCUGGCACCUUGGCCACGAAAACCGGGUAUGCCACAUCAUUCUCACUGAGACGCCGCUUCUCCAAAGAAAGAACACUGUCGUGAAGACUCCGCAUAGCACCGGUUGCAGCAUUGAGCAUAUUUGUCGGUAGCAUCGCCCUACCCGCCACAUGCACCCUCCUCGAGAUAUCCUUAGGUGAAGGUGGCCCGUCCUGAGCACGGAUCAUACUCGGUGCUGGCUGGCUCGCACUGGCGCCCUUUUUAGUCUGUCGUUUCCGGCCCUUCUUCUUGAUCUGCUAUAAUGGGACCGAGUUCUGCUCACAGACCGCCUUCUUGAGCAUGUUGGGGCUGAUAAUAUUUGGCACCUCCGCUAUCUGAGGCUCGGUGAAGGCGGCAGCUGGAGGCAUCUCCUGAGAACUGAACGCCAGACGACGCCUGUUGCAAUUGGGUUUCUCCGCCGUACCAGCUAGAUCGGUGUCUUCCGCGGCGUCCUCAUAGCGGUGAGGUUCUUCCUCCAACUCCUGGGACAGCUCCCAGAAUUGCUUGCCACCCGAACCGCCGGCCUCAUCGUUGUGGGCCAUGUUUCGCUCUAAAUAGGAAAAAAGUUUGGUCAAAAAGUUGGUUAUUGUCAAGGAACAAGAUCAUGGUCUCAUCAUUUAGGGUUUGUCCACACCGAGGCAUCCUAAAAGCUAAGCUUUUAUCAUUUAGGGUUUGUCGACGCUGAGGCACCCUAAAAGCCUAAGCGUACAUCAUUUAGGUUAUCAUCGACACCGAGGCACCCUAUAGAAGUCAAGUUAAGUUUUCAUCAUUUAGGGUUUAUCGAUGCCGAGGCACCCUAGGUUGAGUGUAACACCCUCGAUGCGACUAUAUCUCCCACGUGUCGAGGCAUGACUUAGAGGCAUAAUCGCAUUGAAGGCAUAUGUCGCAAGUGAGGCAAUCUUCACACAACCCAUGUACAUAUAAUAUAAAGGGGAAAAUAAUAAUAAUAGUUGGCUUACACUCACCACGUCACAUCAAGGUACAUAAAUAGCAUCCAUCAUACAAACACUCAUGGCCCGACUACGGCGCCGAAAUAGAAAAGACUCCCCAACAUGCGACUAAUCCCUGAAUCGAACACCGAGCAGGCACCACUACUGAUCAUCAGGAAAAGAAACAUAGUAUCGCUGAGAGUCCUCGUCGUACUCCCACUUCAGCUCGAACGCGCCCUCCGGAGGAGUAUCAUCGGUCCCUGCAUCUGGUGUAAUAGUAAUCUGUGAGCCACAAGGACUCAGCAAUCUCGCACCCUCGCGAUCAAGACUAUUUAAGCUAAAUAGGUAAGGAAGGGGUAAGGUGAGUGGAGCUGCAGCAAGCGACUAGCAUAUAUGGUGGCUAACUUAUACGCAAAAGAGAGCGAGAAGAGAAGGCAAGGCACGAGCGGAAACUAAAUAGAUCAGGCUACGCAAACAUAACUCCAACGCCGUGUCCACUUCCCGGACUCCGCCGAGAAGAGGCCAUCACGGCAACACACGCAGUUGAUUCAUUUUAAUUAAUUAGGUUCAAGUUUUCUACAACCGGACAUUAACAAAUUCCCAUCUGCCCAUAACCGCGGGCACGGCUUUCGAAAGAUCAAUCCCUGCAGGGGGGUCCCAACUUAGCCCAUAACAAGCUCUCACGGUCAACAAAGGAAUAGACCUCCACCCAGGACCCACCGAUCAGACUCGGUAUCCCGGUACAACAAGAUGAUUCGACAGGUCAAAACUAGUCCAGCAACACCGCCCGAAUGCGCCGACAAAUCCCGAUAGGAGCUGCACAUAUCUCUUUCUCAGGGCACACUCAGAUUGUCUAAACUUCCGGUAGGCCAGCCCAGAGUUGCCCCUGGUGGCCACCGGCGGCUGACGUUCCGGACCAACACUCAGAGGAGCACUGGCCCGUGGGGGGCUAAAAUAAAGAUGACCCUCGGGCUCCGGAAACCCAAGGGAAAGAAAAGGGUAGGUGGCAAAUGGUAAAACCAAUGUUGGGCAUUGCUGGAAAAGCUUUAAUCAAGGCGAACUAUCAAGGGGUUCCCAUUAUAGCCCAACCGCGUAAGGGACGCAACAAUCCGGAAACAUAACACCGAUAUGACGGAAACUAGGGGGGCAAGAGUGGAACAAAACACUAGGCGAGAGGCCGAGCCUUCCACCCUUUACCAAGUAUAUAGGUGAGUAAAGAUAACAUAGCAAUAUAAUGAUAUACCAACAGUAAAUAAAUGUUCCAACAAGGAACGGCUCCAAUCUUCACCUGCAACUAACAACGCUAUAAGAAGGGCUGAGCAAAGCAGUAACAUAGCCAAUCAAUGGUUUUCUAGGACAAAGGUGGGUUAGAGGCUCAAUCAUGGCAAUUGGGAGGCUGACAAGCAAGUGGUAGGCAUUGUAGCAUUGGCAAAGCAAAAGAGCGAGCAAACUAGCAUAGCAAAGAUAGUAGUGAUUUCAAGGGUGUGAUCAUCUUGCCUGCACAGUUGUCAGAAUUGACUGGAUCCUCAAAAGCAAACUCAACGGGCUCCUCGUUAGCAAACUCGUCUCCUGGCUCUACCCAACAACACAAACAAGCAACAAGGAUACAAUCAACCACGUGCAAAGGCAACCAAUACGAUGCAAAGAUGAUAUGCUAUGCGGGAUGCAAUGCGGGAUGCAAAAUGCAACAUGUAACAGGAAAUGCAUGAACCUGGCCUCAACAUGGAAAUCCAAGUGUGCCACUGGAUAGAGGGGAAGAAAUCCCCUGAAAACGAUAUAAAGAUCAUGGCAAUCGGAGCUACGGUUAAGAAAUGGCAAGCGUUUUACUAAACGAACCGAUCUGCGAUUUACAGCAACAUGCCUCCUAAAUGCAACAAAAUUAACAUGCUACAGCCACCCAACAUGAAAACAAAUUACAUGGCAGUGAUGUACUCAUCAAGCUUAACAAAUCAUCAUGACUGAGGCAUAGGCAAAAUCAUCCAUUAAGGGCUUCAAACAAGCAUGGCAAAACUGAAUAAGCAAAACAGAUUUCAGACUUAGCGAAAUUAACGCUAGUCUGAAAUUUCAGACCACGAUGCCCUCUUCAGAGCAGCAAAACAACAUGAAGGAAAACCUGAACAUGGCAAGUAAGAGCAUGGCAUGGAGCUACUCAACAAGCUUAACAAAACACCUGAAAUGACCUGCGGCCAAAAGGGUUCACAAAAUACUCUACCGAGCACACGAACAUCGAUGAAACACAAUCAGUUUUCAGACUUAGUGAAAACUGGGACAUGCUGAAAUAAUAACUCACGGAGGCAUAUAAACGAGCUCGAUGCUCUCACUACGGUGCAAGUCAUGGCAAGGAAAGCAUAUAUCCAUUAAGAAGGCACAAAAUGCUAUCUAGACAUGGCAAGAACAAUGGCAUAGCAUGCAUGGAUCACUAGCAAUCACUCCGGCAAAAUCGCAAAAGAGUUAACGAUCUGCCCAAAACAGCAACUAUCCAAAAGUUGAGCUCGAUUGAGUCAACCUAGGGUGCUCCAACAUAACAAGUAAAGACAUGGAUGGAUUAAGCACAACAAGCUUAACAAACCACUCUUACUGAUCAUCCUCAAAAGAGGCACGGAUCACUAGGAAACAAGCCGGACAUAUAGCAUCGUGAACUAAAACGGCUCAGACUUAGUGAAAAUUACUAAGUCCCUGAAAUCUGAAAUCUCAGGUAGCCCUCUUCGCAAGCUUGCACAAGACAACACACACAUCCUAAAAAUACAUGGAAGGCACCUCUGGAAAGAAGACAACAUGCUUAACAAUUCAUCCCAAAAGGGCACAGGCAUAUCAUGCACGGAUUAAAUAUGGCAAAAAUGACAAAAGUGCAUGUUGGAUCAACGGAUCUGCAAUUUAACUCAACAUGCCUCCUUCCAACAGCAUUUUGGGCAACAAGAUGAUCUCAAAUGCAAAUGAUGCAAUCGGAUGAAAUGAUGUACUCGUCGAGACGAAGAAUUUGACAUAUCAUACGCCCAAAUCGGAGCUACGGAUGCAAAGUUAUGGCAGGUCAAACAUGAGCAUAUGGGAUAAAAUCCCUGGGACUUGGAAGAAAAAAAAAGGGGACCCUAGGGUUUACUGUUCACCCAGAUCCGAUCCGGCGCAACACUGUAGCUCGGGCCCGGGACCGAGCCCGGCUAUGGCGGCGGCGGCGGAUCCCGCCGGAUCCGGUGAGGGCGCGGGGCGCCGGCGUCGAGGGGAGGCCGGANNNNNNNNNNNNNNNNNNNNNNNNNNNNNNNNNNNNNNNNNNNNNNNNNNNNNNNNNNNNNNNNNNNNNNNNNNNNNNNNNNNNNNNNNNNNNGGUGGCGGCGGCGGUGCCACGUGGCAGCGGGCGACGGGCUGCGGGCGGAUGUCCGGUGCGGCCGGACGUGUCCGGCGCGCCGGAGGGAGUUUUUUUGGGUUUCGGGGGGAGGGAGAGAUCCGAAAAACGGGGGGUCUAUUUAUAGACCUAGAGGGAGCUAGGAGAGUCCAAAUGAGGUGCGGUUUUUGCCCACACGAUCGUGAUCGAAUGACCGAGACGAUGGAGCUGAGUUUGGUGGGUUUUGGGCCAAAAUGGAGGGGUGUUGGGCUGCACACACACGAGGCCUUUUCGGUCCCUCGGUUAACCGUUGGAGUAUCAAACGAAGUCCAAAUGACCCGAAACUUGACAGGCGGUCUACCGGUAGUAAACCAAGGCCGCAUGGCAAGUCUCGGUCCAAUCCGGAAAUGUUUAAUCCCCACACACGAAAGAAAGCUAGAAAUGGCCACCGGAGGAGAACGAAGCGCCGGAAUGCAAAACGGACAACGGGGAAAAUGCUCGAAUGCAUGAGAUGAACAUGUAUGAAAAUGCGAUGCACGUGACGACAUGAUAUGAGAUGCACGAAAACAAAACAACACACGGGGACAAAGACCCGAACCCGAGAAUUAAAUAUAACUUAAUGCCGGAAACGGCAUGAGUCGGAGUACAAUUGGGGAAGGUUACAUAUGGGGCGUUAAAACACUCCACCACUACGAAAAGAUCUCGUCCCGAGAUCUAGGGCUGAAAGAACUCCGGGUACUCAGAACGGAGGUGAUCCUCGCGUUCCCAGGUAGCUUCACGGUCGGAAUGGUGUGACCACUUGACUUUGAGAAACUUGAUUGACUUGUUGCGAGUUUUGCGUUCAGUCUCUUCAAGGAUUGCAACUGGGUGCUCACGGUAGGAGAGAUCUUCUUGGAGCUCAAUGUCCUCGAAGUUGACGGUGCGCUCGGGCGCCUUGAAGCACUUUCGGAGUUGCGAGACGUGGAACACAUCAUGAACAUUGGCAAAGGUUGCAGGAAGCUCGAGUUGAUAGGCGAGGUCGCCUCUCUUGCUGACGAUCUUGAAAGGCCCGACGUAUCUUGGGGCAAGCUUCCCUUUGAUACCGAAGCGACGAGUCCCUUUCAUAGGAGAGACGCGGAGGUAGACAUGAUCUCCGAUCUCGAAGGCCAAAUCACGGUGCUUGCUGUCGUAGUAGCUCUUCUGACGAGACUGGGCUGCUUUGAGGUUAUCACGUAUGACCUUGCACAUUUCUUCUGCUUCUGUGAUCAAGUCAUUACCCAGCAGCUGACGUUCACCGGUUUCAGACCAGUUGAGAGGUGUACGACACUUCCUACCAUACAGAAUUUCAAACGGGGCCUUGCCGGAACUUGCUUGGAAACUGUUGUUGUACGAGAAUUCAGCAUAAGGAAGGCAAUCCUCCCACUUCAUGCCGAAGGAGAUAACACAAGCCCUGAGCAUAUCUUCAAGAAUCUGGUUGACACGCUCGACUUGACCGCUUGUUUGAGGAUGGAAAGCAGUGCUGAAGCGAAUGUUGGUGCCCAUGGCCUUCUGAAAAGAAUCCCAAAACUUGGAGGUAAAGAUGCUGCCACGGUCUGAAGAUAUCACUUGAGGAAUACCGUGCAGAGAGACAAUGCGGGAGGUGUAGAGCUCCGCCAAUUGAGCUGCAGUGAUUGACUCUUUGAUAGGCAAGAAAUGAGCCACUUUGGUCAGCUUGUCGAUGACGACGAAUAUAGCAUCAUUGCCACGCUUGGACUUAGGAAACCCAGUCACGAAGUCCAUUUCAAUGUGGUCAAACUUCCAUUCUGGAAUGGCGAGAGGUUGGAGGAGACCUGCUGGCCUUUGGUGUUCUGCUUUCACUCUUCUGCAGACAUCACAUUCAUUCACGAAUUGAGCGAUCUCGCGCUUCAUUCGAGUCCACCAAUAAGUUUGCUUCAGGUCUUGAUACAUCUUCGUGCUCCCAGGGUGGAUGGAGAGGAGAGAGUUGUGAGCCUCAUUCAUGAUCACUUUACGAAGUUCACCUUUGGGCACAACAAUUCUAUCCUCGAAGAAGAGAGUGUCCUUGUCAUCAAGUCGGUAGCACUUGUACUUGGACUGACUCUUUGCAAUACCGAUCUUCACCUUUUUCACCAUAGCAUCAAGAAGCUGGGCUUGGCGAAUCUGGUCUUCCAAGGUAGGAGAAACUUGAAGGUUGGCAAGGAAACCUUGAGGAACAACUUGCAGAUUAAGUUUGCGGAAGGCUUCACAAAGCUCGGGUUGAUAAGGCUUGAGAAUCAGACUGUUGCAAUAUGCUUUUCUGCUCAAAGCGUCAGCAAUCACAUUAGCCUUGCCUGGAGUAUACUCGAUACUCGGAUUGUACUCUUGAAUCAUCUCGACCCAUCGUGUCUGCCUGAGGUUGAGAUUAGGCUGAGUGAAGAUGUACUUGAGACUCUUGUGAUCAGUGAAAAUGUCCACUUUCCUUCCCAAGAGAAGAUGUCUCCAAGUCAACAAUGCGUGCACAACUGCCGCCAACUCAAGAUCAUGAGUGGGGUAGUUCUUCUCAUUUGGCUUCAACUGGCGAGAGGUAUAAGCAACAACUUUCUUCUCUUGCAUCAGUACUGCACCGAGACCUUGGAGAGAGGCAUCACAAAAGACUUCGUACGGCUUGGUUUCAUCAGGCGGAGUUAGAACUGGAGCAGUGAUCAAUUUCUCUUUCAAAGCGUUGAAAGCAACAUCACACUCCGGAGACCAAACGUACUUGACGUGCUUCUGAAGAAGAUUUGAGAGAGGCUUCGCGAUCUUGGAGAAGUUUUCAACGAAUCUUCGGCAAUAACUUGCAAGACCGAGGAAGCUACGGAGUUGCUUCACAUUCUGAGGAGGUUCCCAAUUAACGAUUGCAGACACCUUCUCAGGAUCCACGGAAAUGCCCUUGGCAGAGAUAAUAUGCCCAAGAUAAAGAACUUCAUCGAGCCAAAACUCACACUUAGAGAACUUGGCAUAGAAUUGAUGUUCCCUUAGCUUGUCAAGAACCAAACGCAAGUGUUUGGCAUGAUCUUCCUUGUUCUUCGAGAAAACCAGGAUAUCAUCGAGAUAGACCAAAACAAAGUCGUUGGUGUAGGGGUUGAAGAUGAAGUUCAUCAUGCGAGAGAACGUCGGAGGAGCAUUAGCGAGGCCAAAAGACAUAACUGUGUAUUCAUAUGACCCAUAGCUUGUUCUGAACACCGUCUUCGGAAUAUCUUGUUCACGAAUGCGAAUUUGAUGAUAACCCAUACGGAGAUCAAGCUUGGAGAAUACCUGGGCACCCUUGAGUUGUUCGAAUAGCUCAUUAAUGUUGGGAAGUGGAUAUUUGUUCUUGAUGGUCUUCUUGUUCAAUGGACGAUAAUCAACACAAAGUCGGUCCGUUCCAUCCUUCUUCUUCACAAAAAGAACACCACAACCCCACGGAGAAGUACUAGGCCGAAUGAGACCCAUACUUUCUUGCUUAUCGAGCUGUUUCUUCAACUCCUUCAACUCUUCGGGGCCGAGCUUGUAAGGCCGCUUGCACACCGGUUCCGUACCGGGCUCAAGUUCAAUAACGAAUUCAACGGGCCGGUUAGGAGGCAUGCCUGGGAGUUCUUCAGGGAAGACAUCUUGAUACUCACAAACAACCGGAAUCUGCGAAAUAGCAUCCAAUUCACCCUUUUCAUUGAGAGAGAACAACCAGAUGGUAUUAUCCCGAGCAGCAAAGACAAUUACUUCCUCAGACGAAUGAGUCAGUUGAAUCUGCUUGGCUGCGCAAUCCAGCUGAGCUUUAUGUUUAGAGAGCCAGUCCAUCCCAAGAAUGAGAUCGAUAUCGGAAUUGCCAAGAAUCAUCGGGGAAGCCAGAAACUUAAAGUCACCCAGCGAGAUAGAAAUAUCCGAAACUUCAUAGUUAGCAAGCAAGCAUUUGCUCGGAGAGACGACUGCUAAUGGCUGAUGCAUAACUUGAGAAAACCACCCGUGCUUAGAUGCAAAAGGCUUCGAGAUGAAACAAUGUGAUGCACCUGUAUCAAAAAGUACUUUUGCAGGAACAUUGUUAACAGGAAGGUUACCCAUGAUCACAUCUGACGAAUCCUCUGCUUGAGCUGCAUUCACCAUAUUGACCUUGGCGUGCUUGGGAUUAUGCUUGACAACCGCUGUACUUGCCGAUCUGACAGGAGGAGGAGGAGGAAGACGCCUCUGGUUGAAACACUUGUUGGCGUAGUGACCCUUCUGUUGGCACUUGUUGCACGUGACCUCUGAGAGCGGAUGGUGAUACGGAGCACUCGAUCUUGGAGCUUGAGACGAAGUCUUGUUCUGAAAGCCUGGGUUGGGUGGGUGGGAAGAACCACUGCCACCUUUGCUCUUCUGCUGAUACGGCUGACGGAACGGAGGAGGAGGAAGCCAAUACUUCUGCUGCUUGGUCACUUGAGUAGAGGACGAAGACGAAGUGUCUCUGACUCGCUUCCUGGAAGCAUCACACCUGAGCUGAGCAGCCUCUUGCUUCAGUGCCAUGUUGUAGAACUCAUCGUAUCUCAGUGGCUCGAAGAGGACAAGAGCGAGCUGAAUUUCUUCACGAAGACCACCCCUGAACUGAUAGAUCAUGCUCUUCUCAUCAGGAACAUCCUGCUUGGCAAAACGGGCGAGCUUCUGGAACAACUUGUUGUAGUCAUAGACAGACAAAGAGCCUUGCUUCAGAUUGCGAAAUUCUUCAUGUUUGCUUUCAGUCACACUUUGAGGAAUGUGAUGAGCGCGGAAAUCACGACGGAAAUCAUCCCAAGUGAUCAAACGUCCACCUCUGGAAUCCCGGUACUGCUGAAACCACUCUGCGGCCUGAUCCUUGAGCUGGAAAGACGCGAACUUGACGAAAUCUUCAGGUCUGACGUUGCUACAUUCAAAAUGCUUGCCCAGAUCGACUAACCAAUCAUCAGCAUCGGUAGCCUCAACGCAGUUACUGAACGUCUUUGGACCAUUUGCGAGGAACUGAUGCAGAGUUGCAAACUGGUUCUGGUUGCUGCCUUGAUUCGCUUGACUGCUUUGAUUCCGCUCUUGGAUGAUUUGCAUGAUCAGCUGAGUAUUUGCAUUAGUAGCAGCCAUCACAGCCUGCCAUGCUUCCGGAGGAGGCGGAGGCGGCGGAGGAUCUUGAUUCUGGUUCUGACUGGUGCUCUUAGCGGGAGCCAUCCUGAAGAGGUUGACCACCAUUAGCACACAAAUAAAGGAAUAUUGAAGGUGAAACCAACGGAAUGAAAAUUGCAACAUAAAGUCUUCACAUCCGAACAAAAUGAACGAAUGCACUUCUCUUGAAGUGGUCACAUAUUCCUAAAUUGCGAAGCCACGAAGAAUCAGGUAGAAUAGGUACAACAACGAGGGAUGGAAUCAACAUAAGACGUCGAAGAAGAACGAAUACUACAACUCGAAAUAAAACCAAGGGUUGGCUUGCGGAAUAAGCCGGAACAAACACAUGAUAGAAAUUUCGUCCGAAGUGUUCGUGGUAGGACCUACACGGGCUCGACCGUACAGCACCAUCAUGUACAAGGCAGUGCACAUGACAUACGAAGCGUCCCCGAGUCAGCAUAGCCAAGGACUCUUUAAGACACAACGAGGCCACUGUAAAAUCAACCGUGAAUAGGCGAACCACUAGACGUCGAACCCCAAUUUCAUAUCACACAUCUGUUGGAAAGAUAUCCUAAGGCUACUUGAAUUCCCACCUAUGAAAUUCCCGAAACUUUCCGGUUAUGCAAUCAGGUGUUGAGGAUACAGGGGAAGCAUAAUAUCUCACCCAAGCUAGCAAAUCCUACAUCCAGCUGCAUCCAUCCUUCAACACAGAACCAAGAAACCUUCGGAAACCAUCUAUAUCAACCUUCGAAAAACAUCCGUUAUACAAGUUAUGGCGAUACUCCCGAACUCCCGCCCCAGUACUGGGUGGCGUCGAGGUUAUCUCACCAACGAACUGCAUAAAGGAGAUUUUCGAUGUCGCGCACAUAUCUCAAGUAUACCAGAAUUGCAACGAUAGAAUUAUGAUGACAACACCUUAGAGCUCAACUCCCCGGGACACUUCCACUAAACCCCUGACAGGAGGCACCAAGACAGUAUUCUCAUCAUAAGCCAUCGGAACAAAACUAAGAUACUCGCGUGAUCCUAAAAAAAUUUUAGUGAAAUUUGAGAAGAGAAGAGUCAAAACUCUACGUCAGGAUGCCUUACCAGAGCGAUGAGGAGACUGGGAAGUAAAAAGAAUUCCUAAGCUCUCCGAUAUAUAAUUCCUAAGGACUCAAAACAUUUUUCUAGACACAACUCGGCUGCUAAAAACGAUCAAGCAAUGGGCCUCCAAAGGUCGGGGAAGGCUCUGAUUACCAACUUGUAACACCCUCGAUGCGACUAUAUCUCCCACGUGUCGAGGCAUGACUUAGAGGCAUAAUCGCAUUGAAGGCAUAUGUCGCAAGUGAGGCAAUCUUCACACAACCCAUGUACAUAUAAUAUAAAGGGGAAAAUAAUAAUAAUAGUUGGCUUACACUCGCCACGUCACAUCAAGGUACAUAAAUAGCAUCCAUCAUACAAACACUCAUGGCCCGACUACGGCGCCGAAAUAGAAAAGACUCCCCAACAUGCGACUAAUCCCUGAAUCGAACCCCGAGCAGGCACCACUACUGAUCAUCAGGAAAAGAAACAUAGUAUCGCUGAGAGUCCUCGUCGUACUCCCACUUCAGCUCGAACGCGCCCUCCGGAGGAGUAUCAUCGGUCCCUGCAUCUGGUGUAAUAGUAAUCUGUGAGCCACAAGGACUCAGCAAUCUCGCACCCUCGCGAUCAAGACUAUUUAAGCUAAAUAGGUAAGGAAGGGGUAAGGUGAGUGGAGCUGCAGCAAGCGACUAGCAUAUAUGGUGGCUAACUUAUACGCAAAAGAGAGGGAGAAGCGAAGGCAAGGCACGAGCGGAAACUAAAUAGAGCAGGCUACGCAAACAUAACUCCAACGCCGUGUCCACUUCCCGGACUCCGCCGAGAAGAGGCCAUCACGGCAACACACGCAGUUGAUUCAUUUUAAUUAAUUAGGUUCAAGUUUUCUACAACCGGACAUUAACAAAUUCCCAUCUGCCCAUAACCGCGGGCAUGGCUUUCGAAAGAUCAACCCCUGCAGGGGGGUCCCAACUUAGCCCAUAACAAGCUCUCACGGUCAACGAAGGAAUAGACCUCCACCCAGGACCCACCGAUCAGACUCGGUAUCCCGGUACAACAAGAUGAUUCGACAGGUCAAAACUAGUCCAGCAACACCGCCCGAAUGCGCCGACAAAUCCCGAUAGGAGCUGCACAUAUCUCUUUCUCAGGGCACACUCAGAUUGUCUAAACUUCCGGUAGGCCAGCCCAGAGUUGCCCCUGGUGGCCACCGGCGGCUGACAUUCCGGACCAACACUCAGAGGAGCACUGGCCCGUGGGGGGCUAAAAUAAAGAUGACCCUCGGGCUCCGAAAACCCAAGGGAAAGAAAAGGGUAGGUGGCAAAUGGUAAAACCAAUGUUGGGCAUUGCUGGAAAAGCUUUAAUCAAGGCGAACUAUCAAGGGGUUCCCAUUAUAGCCCAACCGCGUAAGGGACGCAACAAUCCGGGAACAUAACACCGAUAUGACGGAAACUAGGGGGGCAAGAGUGGAACAAAACACUAGGCGAGAGGCCGAGCCUUCCACCCUUUACCAAGUAUAUAGGUGAGUAAAGAUAACAUAGCAAUAUAAUGAUAUACCAACAGUAAAUAAAUGUUCCAACAAGGAACGGCUCCAAUCUUCACCUGCAACUAACAACGCUAUAAGAAGGGCUGAGCAAAGCGGUAACAUAGCCAAUCAAUGGUUUUCUAGGACAAAGGUGGGUUAGAGGCUCAAUCAUGGCAAUUGGGAGGCUGACAAGCAAGUGGUAGGCAUCGUAGCAUUGGCAAAGCAAAAGAGCGAGCAAACUAGCAUAGCAAAGAUAGUAGUGAUUUCAAGGGUGUGAUCAUCUUGCCUGCACAGUUGUCAGAAUUGACUGGAUCCUCAAAAGCAAACUCAACGGGCUCCUCGUUAGCGAACUCGUCUCCUGGCUCUACCCAACAACACAAACAAGCAACAAGGAUACAAUCAACCACGUGCAAAGGCAACCAAUACGAUGCAAAGAUGAUAUGCUAUGCGGGAUGCAAUGCGGGAUGCAAAAUGCAACAUGUAACAGGAAAUGCAUGAACCUGGCCUCAACUUGGAAAUCCAAGUGUGCCACUGGAUAGAGGGGAAGAAAUCCCCUGAAAACGAUAUAAAGAUCAUGGCAAUCGGAGCUACGGUUAAGAAAUGGCAAGCGUUUUACUAAACGAACCGAUCUGCGAUUUACAGCAACAUGCCUCCUAAAUGCAACAAAAUUAACAUGCUACAGCCACCCAACAUGAAAACAAAUUACAUGGCAGUGAUGUACUCAUCAAGCUUAACAAAUCAUCAUGACUGAGGCAUAGGCAAAAUCAUCCAUUAAGAGCUUCAAACAAGCAUGGCAAAACUGAAUAAGCAAAACAGAUUUCAGACUUAGCGAAAUUAACGCUAGUCUGAAAUUUCAGACCACGAUGCCCUCUUCGGAGCAGCAAAACAACAUGAAGGAAAACCUGAACAUGGCAAGUAAGAGCAUGUCAUGGAGCUACUCAACAAGCUUAACAAAACACCCGAAAUGACCUGCGGCCAAAAGGGUUCACAAAAUACUCUACCGAGCACACGAACAUCGAUGAAACACAAUCAGUUUUCAGACUUAGUGAAAACUGGGACAUGCUGAAAUAAUAACUCACGGAGGCAUAUAAACGAGCUCGAUGCUCUCACUACGGUGCAAUUCAUGGCAAGGCAAGCAUAUAUCCAUUAAGAAGGCACAAAAUGCUAGCUAGACAUGGCAAGAAAAAUGGCAUAGCAUGCAUGGAUCACUAGCAAUCACUCCGGCAAAAUCGCAAAAGAGUUAACGAUCUGCCCAAAACAGCAACUAUCCAAAAGUUGAGCUCGAUUGAGUCAACCUAGGGUGCUCCAACAUAACAAGUAAAGACAUGGAUGGAUUAAGAACAACAAGCUUAACAAAUCACUCUUACUGAUCAUCCUCAAAAGAGGCAGGGAUCACUAGGAAACAAGCCGGACAUAUAGCAUCGUGAACUAAAACGGCUCAGACUUAGUGAAAAUUACUAAGUCCCUGAAAUCUGAAAUCUCAGGUAGCCCUCUUCGCAAGCUUGCACAAGACAACACGCACAUCCUAAAAAUACAUGGAAGGCACCUCUGGAAAGAAGACAACAUGCUUAACAAUUCAUCCCAAAGGGGCACAGGCAUAUCGUGCACGGAUUAAAUAUGGAAAAAAUGACAAAAGUGCAUGUUGGAUUAACGGAUCUGCAAUUUAACUCAACAUGCCUCCUUCCAACAGCAUUUUGGGCAACAAGAUGACCUCAAAUGCAAAUGAUGCAAUGGAAUGAAAUGAUGUACUCGUCGAGACGAAGAAUUUGACAUAUCAUACGCCCAAAUCGGAGCUACGGAUGCAAAGUUAUGGCAGGUCAAACAUGAGCAUAUGGGGUAAAAUCCCUGGGACUUGGAAGAAAAAAAAAGGGGACCCUAGGGUUUACUGUUCACCCAGAUCCGAUCCGGCGCAACACUGUAGCUCGGGCCCGGGACCGAGCCCGGCGAUGGCGGCGGCGGCGGAUCCCGCCGGAUCCGGCGAGGGCGCGGGGCGCCGGCGUCGAGGGGAGNNNNNNNNNNNNNNNNNNNNNNNNNNNNNNNNNNNNNNNNNNNNNNNNNNNNNNNNNNNNNNNNNNNNNNNNNNNNNNNNNNNNNNNNNNNNNNNNNNNNNNNNNNNNNNNNNNNNNNNNNNNNNNNNNNNNNNNNNNNNNNNNNNNNNNNNNNNNNNNNNNNNNNNNNNNNNNNNNNNNNNNNNNNNNNNNNNNNNNNNNNNNNNNNNNNNNNNNNNNNNNNNNNNNNNNNNNNNNNNNNNNNNNNNNNNNNNNNNNNNNNNNNNNNNNNNNNNNNNNNNNNNNNNNNNNNNNNNNNNNNNNNNNNNNNNNNNNNNNNNNNNNNNNNNNNNNNNNNNNNNNNNNNNNNNNNNNNNNNNNNNNNNNNNNNNNNNNNNNNNNNNNNNNNNNNNNNNNNNNNNNNNNNNNNNNNNNNNNNNNNNNNNNNNNNNNNNNNNNNNNNNNNNNNNNNNNNNNNNNNNNNNNNNNNNNNNNNNNNNNNNNNNNNNNNNNNNNNNCGGCGGGCCUCCGCGGCGGCGGCGGCGGCGGUGCCACGUGGCAGCGGGCGACGGGCUGCGGGCGGAUGUCCGGUGCGGCCGGACGUGUCCGGCGCGCCGGAGGGAGUUUUUUUGGGUUUCGGGGGGAGGGAGAGAUCCGAAAAACGGGGGGUCUAUUUAUAGACCUAGAGGGAGCUAGGAGACUCCAAAUGAGGUGCGAUUUUCGCCCACACGAUCGUGAUCGAACGACCGAGACGAUGGAGCUGAGUUUGGUGGGUUUUGGGCCAAAAUGGAGGGGUGUUGGGCUGCACACACACGAGGCCUUUUCGGUCCCUCGGUUAACCGUUGGAGUAUCAAACGAAGUCCAAAUGACCCGAAACUUGACAGGCGGUCUACCGGUAGUAAACCAAGGCCGCAUGGCAAGUCUCGGUCCAAUCCGGAAAUGUUUAAUCCCCACACACGAAAGAAAGCUAGAAAUGGCCACCGGAGGAGAACGAAGCGCCGGAAUGCAAAACGGACAACGGGGAAAAUGCUCGAAUGCAUGAGAUGAACAUGUAUGCAAAUGCGAUGCACGUGACGACAUGAUAUGAGAUGCACGAAAACAAAACAACACACGGGGACAAAGACCCGAACCCGAGAAUUAAAUAUAACUUAAUGCCGGAAACGGCAUGAGUCGGAGUACAAUUGGGGAAGGUUACAUAUGGGGCGUUAAAACACUCCACCACUACGAAAAGAUCUCGUCCCGAGAUCUAGGGCUGAAAGAACUCCGGGUACUCAGAACGGAGGUGAUCCUCGCGUUCCCAGGUAGCUUCACGGUCGGAAUGGUGUGACCACUUGACUUUGAGAAACUUGAUUGACUUGUUGCGAGUUUUGCAUUCAGUCUCUUCAAGGAUUGCAACUGGGUGCUCACGGUAGGAGAGAUCUUCUUGGAGCUCAAUGUCCUCGAAGUUGACGGUGCGCUCGGGCGCCUUGAAGCACUUUCGGAGUUGCGAGACGUGGAACACAUCAUGAACAUUGGCAAAGGUUGCAGGAAGCUCGAGUUGAUAGGCGAGGUCGCCUCUCUUGCUGACGAUCUUGAAGGGCCCGAUGUAUCUUGGGGCAAGCUUCCCUUUGAUACCGAAGCAACGAGUCCCUUUCAUAGGAGAGACGCGGAGGUAGACAUGAUCUCCGAUCUCGAAGGCCAAAUCACGGUGCUUGCUGUCGUAGUAGCUCUUCUGACGAGACUGGGCUGCUUUGAGGUUAUCACGUAUGACCUUGCACAUUUCUUCUGCUUCUGUGAUCAAGUCAUUACCCAGCAGCUGACGUUCACCGGUUUCAGACCAGUUGAGAGGUGUACGGCACUUCCUACCAUACAGAAUUUCAAACGGUGCCUUGCCGGAACUUGCUUGGAAACUGUUGUUGUAUGAGAAUUCAGCAUAAGGAAGGCAAUCCUCCCACUUCAUGCCGAAGGAGAUAACACAAGCCCUGAGCAUAUCUUCAAGAAUCUGGUUGACACGCUCGACUUGACCGCUUGUUUGAGGAUGGAAAGCAGUGCUGAAGCGAAUGUUGGUGCCCAUGGCCUUCUGAAAAGAAUCCCAAAACUUGGAGGUAAAGAUGCUGCCACGGUCUGAAGAUAUCACUUGAGGAAUACCGUGCAGAGAGACAAUGCGGGAGGUGUAGAGCUCCGCCAAUUGAGCUGCAGUGAUUGACUCUUUGAUAGGCAAGAAAUGAGCCACUUUGGUCAGCUUGUCGAUGACGACGAAUAUAGCAUCAUUGCCACGCUUGGACUUAGGAAACCCAGUCACGAAGUCCAUUUCAAUGUGGUCAAACUUCCAUUUUGGAAUGGCGAGAGGUUGGAGGAGACCUGCUGGCCUUUGGUGUUCUGCUUUCACUCUUCUGCAGACAUCACAUUCAUUCACGAAUUGAGCGAUCGCGCGCUUCAUUCGAGUCCACCAAUAAGUUUGCUUCAGGUCUUGAUACAUCUUCGUGCUCCCAGGGUGGAUGGAGAGGAGAGAGUUGUGAGCCUCAUUCAUGAUCACUUUACGAAGUUCACCUUUGGGCACAACAAUUCUAUCCUCGAAGAAGAGAGUGUCCUUGUCAUCAAGUCGGUAGCACUUGUACUUGGACUGACUCUUUGCAAUACCGAUCUUCACCUUUUUCACCAUAGCAUCAAGAAGCUGGGCUUGGCGAAUAUGGUCUUCCAAGGUAGGAGAAACUUGAAGGUUGGCAAGGAAACCUUGAGGAACAACUUGCAGAUUAAGUUUGCGGAAGGCUUCACAAAGCUCGGGUUGAUAAGGCUUGAGAAUCAGACUGUUGCAAUAUGCUUUUCUGCUCAAAGCGUCAGCAAUCACAUUAGCCUUGCCUGGAGUAUACUCGAUACUCGGAUUGUACUCUUGAAUCAUCUCGACCCAUCGAGUCUGCCUGAGGUUGAGAUUAGGCUGAGUGAAGAUGUACUUGAGACUCUUGUGAUCAAUGAAAAUGUCCACUUUCCUUCCCAAGAGAAGAUGUCUCCAAGUCAACAAUGCGUGCACAACUGCCGCCAACUCAAGAUCAUGAGUGGGGUAGUUCUUCUCAUUUGGCUUCAACUGGCGAGAGGUAUAAGCAACAACUUUCUUCUCUUGCAUCAGUACUGCACCGAGACCUUGGAGAGAGGCAUCACAAAAGACCUCGUACGGCUUGGUUUCAUCAGGCGGAGUUAGAACUGGAGCAGUGAUCAAUUUCUCUUUCAAAGCGUUGAAAGCAACAUCACACUCCGGAGACCAAACGUACUUGACGUGCUUCUGAAGAAGAUUUGAGAGAGGCUUCGCGAUCUUGGAUAAGUUUUCAACGAAUCUUCGGCAAUAACUUGCAAGACCGAGGAAGCUACGGAGUUGCUUCACAUUCUGAGGAGGUUCCCAAUUAACGAUUGCAGACACCUUCUCAGGAUCCACGGAAAUGCCCUUGGCAGAGAUAAUAUGCCCAAGAUAAAGAACUUCAUCGAGCCAAAACUCACACUUAGAGAACUUGGCAUAGAAUUGAUGUUCCCUUAGCUUGUCAAGAACCAAACGCAAGUGUUUGGCAUGAUCUUCCUUGUUCUUCGAGAAAACCAGGAUAUCAUCGAGAUAGACCAAAACAAAGUCGUUGGUGUAGGGGUUGAAGAUGAAGUUCAUCAUGCGAGAGAACGUCGGAGGAGCAUUAGCGAGGCCAAAAGACAUAACUGUGUAUUCAUAUGACCCAUAGCUUGUUCUGAACGCCGUCUUCGGAAUAUCUUGUUCACGAAUGCGAAUUUGAUGAUAACCCAUACGGAGAUCAAGCUUGGAGAAUACUUGGGCACCCUUGAGUUGUUCGAAUAGCUCAUUAAUGUUGGGAAGUGGAUAUUUGUUCUUGAUGGUCUUCUUGUUCAAUGGACGAUAAUCAACACAAAGUCGGUCCGUUCCAUCCUUCUUCUUCACAAAAAGAACACCACAACCCCACGGAGAAGUACUAGGCCGAAUGAGACCCAUACUUUCUUGCUUAUCGAGCUGUUUCUUCAACUCCUUCAACUCUUCGGGGCCGAGCUUGUAAGGCCGCUUGCACACCGGUUCCGUACCGGGCUCAAGUUCAAUAACGAAUUCAACGGGCCGGUUAGGAGGCAUGCCUGGGAGUUCUUCAGGGAAGACAUCUUGAUACUCACAAACAACCGGAAUCUGCGAAAUAGCAUCCAAUUCACCCUUUUCAUUGAGAGAGAACAACCGGAUGGUAUUAUCCCGAGCAGCAAAGACAAUUAUUUCCUCAGACGAAUGAGUCAGUUGAAUCUGCUUGGCUGCGCAAUCCAGCUGAGCUUUAUGUUUAGAGAGCCAGUCCAUCCCAAGAAUGAGAUCGAUAUCGGAAUUGCCAAGAAUCAUCGGGGAAGCCAGAAACUUAAAGUCACCCAGCGAGAUAGAAAUAUCCGGAACUUCAUAGUUAGCAAGCAAGCAUUUGCUCGGAGAGACGACUGCUAAUGGCUGAUGCAUAACUUGAGAAAACCACCCGUGCUUAGAUGCAAAAGGCUUCGAGAUGAAACAAUGUGAUGCACCUGUAUCAAAAAGUACUUUUGCAGGAACAUCGUUAAUAGGAAGGUUACCCAUGAUCACAUCUGACGAAUCCUCUGCUUGAGCUGCAUUCACCAUAUUGACCUUGGCGUGCUUGGGAUUAUGCUUGACCACCGCUGUACUUGCCGAUCUGACAGGAGGAGGAGGAGGAAGACGCCUCUGGUUGAAACACUUGUUGGCGUAGUGACCCUUCUGUUGGCACUUGUUGCACGUGACCUCUGAGAGCGGAUGGUGAUACGGAGCACUCGAUCUUGGAGCUUGAGACGAAGUCUUGUUCUGAAAGCCUGGGUUGGGUGGGUGGGAAGAACCACUGCCACCUUUGCUCUUCUGCUGAUACGGCUGACGGAACGGAGGAGGAGGAAGCCAAUACUUCUGCUGCUUGGUCACUUGAGUAGAGGACGAAGACGAAGUGUCUCUGACUCGCUUCCUGGAAGCAUCACACCUGAGCUGAGCAGCCUCUUGCUUCAGUGCCAUGUUGUAGAACUCACCGUAUCUCAGUGGCUCGAAGAGGACAAGAGCGAGCUGAAUUUCUUCACGAAGACCACCCCUGAACUGAUAGAUCAUGCUCUUCUCAUCAGGAACAUCCUGCUUGGCAAAACGGGCGAGCUUCUGGAACAACUUGUUGUAGUCAUAGACAGACAAAGAGCCUUGCUUCAGAUUGCGAAAUUCUUCACGUUUGCUUUCAGUCACACUUUGAGGAAUGUGAUGAGCGCGGAAAUCACGACGGAAAUCAUCCCAAGUGAUCAAACGUCCACCUCUGGAAUCCCGGUACUGCUGAAACCACUCUGCGGCCUGAUCCUUGAGCUGGAAAGACGCGAACUUGACGAAAUCUUCAGGUCUGACGUUGCUACAUUCGAAAUGCUUGCCCAGAUCGACUAACCAAUCAUCAGCAUCGGUAGCCUCAACGCAGUUACUGAACGUCUUUGGACCAUUUGCGAGGAACUGAUGCAGAGUUGCAAACUGGUUCUGGUUGCUGCCUUGAUUCGCUUGACUGCUUUGAUUCCGCUCUUGGAUGAUUUUGCAUGAUCAGCUGAGUAUUUGCAUUAGUAGCAGCCAUCACAGCCUGCCAUGCUUCCGGAGGAGGCGGAGGCGGCGGAGGAUCUUGAUUCUGGUUCUGACUGGUGCUCUUAGCGGGAGCCAUCCUGAAGAGGUUGACCACCAUUAGCACACAAAUAAAGGAAUAUUGAAGGUGAAACCAACGGAAUGAAAAUUGCAACAUAAAGUCUUCACAUCCGAACAAAAUGAACGAAUGCACUUCUCUUGAAGUGGUCACAUAUUCCUAAAUUGCGAAGCCACGAAGAAUCAGGUAGAAUAGGUACAACAACGAGGGAUGGAAUCAACAUAAGACGUCGAAGAAGAACGAAUACCACAACUCGAAAUAAAACCAAAGGUUGGCUUGCGGAAUAAGCCGGAACAAACACAUGAUAGAAAUUUCGUCCGAAGUGUUCGUGGUAGGACCUACACGGGCUCGACCGUACAUCACCAUCAUGUACAAGGCAGUGCACAUGACAUACGAAGCGUCCCCGAGUCAGCAUAGCCAAGGACUCUUUAAGACACAACGAGGCCACUGUAAAAUCAACCGUGAAUAGGCGAACCACUAGACGUCGAACCCCAAUUUCAUAUCACACAUCUGUUGGAAAGAUAUCCUAAGGCUACUUGAAUUCCCACCUAUGAAAUUCCCGAAACUUUCCGGUUAUGCAAUCAGGUGUUGAGGAUACAGGGGAAGCAUAAUAUCUCACCCAAGCUAGCAAAUCCUACAUCCAGCUGCAUCCAUCCUUCAACACAGAACCAAGAAACCUUCGGAAACCAUCUAUCUCAACCUUCGAAAAACAUCCGUUAUACAAGUUAUGGCGAUACUCCCGAACUCCCGCCCCAGUACUGGGUGGCAUCGAGGUUAUCUCACCAACGAACUGCAUAAAGGAGAUUUUCGAUGUCGCGCACAUAUCUCAAGUAUACCAGAAUUGCAACGAUAGAAUUAUGAUGACAACACCUUAGAGCUCAACUCCCCGGGACACUUCCACUAAACCCCUGACAGGAGGCACCAAGACAGUAUUCUCAUCAUAAGCCAUCGGAACAAAACUAAGAUACUCGCGUGAUCCUAAAAUUUUUUUAGUGAAAUUUGAGAAGAGAAGAGUCAAAACUCUAUGUCAGGAUGCCUUACCAGAGCGAUGAGGAGACUGGGAAGUAAAAAGAAUUCCUAAGCUCUCCGAUAUAUAAUUCCUAAGGACUCAAAACAUUUUUCUAGACACAACUCGGCUGCUAAAAACGAUCAAGCAAUGGGGCUCCUAAGGUCGGGGAACGCUCUGAUUACCAACUUGUAACACCCUCGAUGCGACUAUAUCUCCCACGUGUCGAGGCACGACUUAGAGGCAUAAUCGCAUUGAAGGCAUAUGUCGCAAGUGAGGCAAUCUUCACACAACCCAUGUACAUAUAAUAUAAAGGGGAAAAUAAUAAUAAUAGUUGGCUUACACUCGCCACGUCACAUCAAGGUACAUAAAUAGCAUCCAUCAUACAAACACUCAUGGCCCGACUACGGCGCCGAAAUAGAAAAGACUCCCCAACAUGCGACUAAUCCCUGAAUCGAACCCCGAGCAGGCACCACUACUGAUCAUCAGGAAAAGAAACAUAGUAUCGCUGAGAGUCCUCGUCGUACUCCCACUUCAGCUCGAACGCGCCCUCCGGAGGAGUAUCAUCGGUCCCUGCAUCUGUUGUAAUAGUAAUCUGUGAGCCACAAGGACUCAGCAAUCUCGCACCCUCGCGAUCAAGACUAUUUAAGCUAAAUAGGUAAGGAAGGGGUAAGGUGAGUCGAGCUGCAGCAAGCGACUAGCAUAUAUGGUGGCUAACUUAUACGCAAAAGAGAGCGAGAAGAGAAGGCAAGGCACGAGCGGAAACUAAAUAGAGCAGGCUACGCAAACAUAACUCCAACGCCGUGUCCACUUCCCGGACUCCGCAGAGAAGAGGCCAUCACGGCAACACACGCAGUUGAUUCAUUUUAAUUAAUUAGGUUCAAGUUGUCUACAACCGGACAUUAACAAAUUCCCAUCUGCCCAUAACCACGGGCACGGCUUUCGAAAGAUCAAUCCCUGCAGGGGGGUCCCAACUUAGGCCAUAACAAGCUCUCACGGUCAACGAAGGAAUAGACCUCCACCCAGGACCCACCGAUCAGACUCGGUAUCCCGGUACAACAAGAUGAUUCGACAGGUCAAAACUAGUCCAGCAACACCGCCCGAAUGCGCCGACAAAUCCCGAUAGGAGCUGCACAUAUCUCUUUCUCAGGGCACACUCAGAUUGUCUAAACUUCCGGUAGGCCAGCCCAGAGUUGCCCCUGGUGGCCACCGGCGGCUGACGUUCCGGACCAACACUCAGAGGAGCACUGGCCCGUGGGGGGCUAAAAUAAAGAUGACCCUCGGGCUCCGGAAACCCAAGGGAAAGAAAAGGGUAGGUGGCAAAUGGUAAAACCAAUGUUGGGCAUUGCUGGAAAAGCUUUAAUCAAGGCGAACUAUCAAGGGGUUCCCAUUAUAGCCCAACCGCGUAAGGGACGCAACAAUCCGGGAACAUAACACCGAUAUGACGGAAACUAGGGGGGCAAGAGUGGAACAAAACACUAGGCGAGAGGCCGAGCCUUCCACCCUUUACCAAGUAUAUAGGUGAGUAAAGAUAACAUAGCAAUAUAAUGAUAUACCAACAGUAAAUAAAUGUUCCAACAAGGAACGGCUCCAAUCUUCACCUGCAACUAACAACGCUAUAAGAAGGGCUGAGCAAAGCGGUAACAUAGCCAAUCAAUGGUUUUCUAGGACAAAGGUGGGUUAGAGGCUCAAUCAUGCCAAUUGGGAGGCUGACAAGCAAGUGGUAGGCAUCGUAGCAUUGGCAAAGCAAAAGAGCGAGCAAACUAGCAUAGCAAAGAUAGUAGUGAUUUCAAGGGUGUGAUCAUCUUGCCUGCACAGUUGUCAGAAUUGACUGGAUCCUCAAAAGCAAACUCAACGGGCUCCUCGUUAGCGAACUCGUCUCCUGGCUCUACCCAACAACACAAACAAGCAACAAGGAUACAAUCAACCACGUGCAAAGGCAACCAAUACGAUGCAAAGAUGAUAUGCUAUGCGGGAUGCGAUGCGGGAUGCAAAAUGCAACAUGUAACAGGAAAUGCAUGAACCUGGCCUCAACUUGGAAAUCCAAGUGUGCCACUGGAUAGAGGGGAAGAAAUCCCCUGAAAACGAUAUAAAGAUCAUGGCAAUCGGAGCUACGGUUAAGAAAUGGCAAGCGUUUUACUAAACGAACCGAUCUGCGAUUUACAGCAACAUGCCUCCUAAAUGCAACAAAAUGAACAUGCUACAGCCACCCAACAUGAAAACAAAUUACAUGGCAGUGAUGUACUCUUCAAGCUUAACAAAUCAUCAUGACUGAGGCAUAGGCAAAAUCAUCCAUUAAGGGCUUCAAACAAGCAUGGCAAAACUGAAUAAGCAAAAGAGAUUUCAGACUUAGCGAAAUUAACGCUAGUCUGAAAUUUCAGACCAUGAUGCCCUCUUCGGAGCAGCAAAACAACAUGAAGGAAAACCUGAACAUGGCAAGUAAGAGCAUGGUAUGGAGCUACUCAACAAGCUUAACAAAACACCCAAAAUGACCUGGGGCCAAAAGGGUUCACAAAAUACUCUACCGAGCACACGAACAUCGAUGAAACACAAUCAGUUUUCAGACUUAGUGAAAACUGGGACAUGCUGAAAUAAUAACUCACGGAGGCAUAUAAACGAGCUCGAUGCUCUCACUACGGUGCAAGUCAUGGCAAGGCAAGCAUAUAUCCAUUAAGAAGGCACAAAAUUCUAGCUAGACAUGGCAAGAACAAUGGCAUAGCAUGCAUGGAUCACUAGCAAUCACUCCGGCAAAAUCGCAAAAGAGUUAACGAUCUGCCCAAAACAGCAACUAUCCAAAAGUUGAGCUCGAUUGAGUCAACCUAGGUUGCUCCAACAUAACAAGUAAAGAUAUGGAUGGAUUAAGCACAACAAGCUUAACAAAUCACUCUUACUGAUCAUCCUCAAAAGAGGCACGGAUCACUAGGAAACAAGCCGAACAUAUAGUAUCGUGAACUAAAACGGCUCAGACUUAGUGAAAAUUACUAAGUCCCUGAAAUCUGAAAUCUCAGGUAGCCCUCUUCGCAAGCUUGCACAAGACAACACACACAUCCUAAAAAUACAUGGAAGGCACCUAUGGAAAGAAGACAACAUGCUUAACAAUUCAUCCCAAAGGGGCACAGGCAUAUCAUGCACGGAUUAAAUAUGGCAAAAAUGACAAAAGUGCAUGUUGGAUUAACGGAUCUGCAAUUUAACUCAACAUGCCUCCUUCCAACAGCAUUUUGGGCAACAAGAUGACCUCAAAUGCAAAUGAUACAAUGGAAUGAAAUGAUGUACUCGUCGAGACGAAGAAUUUGACAGGUCAAACAUGAGCAUAUGGGGUAAAAUCCCUGGGACUUAGAAGAAAAAAAAGGGGACCCUAGGGUUUACUGUUCACCCAGAUCCGAUCCGGCACAACACUGUAGCUCGGGCCCAGGACCGAGCCCGGCGAUGGCGGCGGCGGCGGAUCCCGCCGGAUCCGGCGAGGGCGCGGGGCGCCGGCGUCGAGGGGAGGCCGGAGGGCAGCGCGCGGCCACCGGAGCCGGCGAGGGGCGGCAGCGGCCGGGCACCNNNNNNNNNNNNNNNNNNNNNNNNNNNNNNNNNNNNNNNNNNNNNNNNNNNNNNNNNNNNNNNNNNNNNNNNNNNNNNNNNNNNNNNNNNNNNNNNNNNNNNNNNNNNNNNNNNNNNNNNNNNNNNNNNNNNNNNNNNNNNNNNNNNNNNNNNNNNNNNNNNNNNNNNNNNNNNNNNNNNNNNNNNNNNNNNNNNNNNNNNNNNNNNNNNNNNNNNNNNNNNNNNNNNNNNNNNNNNNNNNNNNNNNNNNNNNNNNNNNNNNNNNNNNNNNNNNNNNNNNNNNNNNNNNNNNNNNNNNNNNNNNNNNNNNNNNNNNNNNNNNNNNNNNNNNNNNNNNNNNNNNNNNNNNNNNNNNNNNNNNNNNNNNNNNNNNNNNNNNNNNNNNNNNNNNNNNNNNNNNNNNNNNNNNNNNNNNNNNNNNNNNNNNNNNNNNNNNNNNNNNNNNNNNNNNNNNNNNNNNNNNNNNNNNNNNNNNNNNNNNNNNNNNNNNNNNNNNNNNNNNNNNNNNNNNNNNNNNNNNNNNNNNNNNNNNNNNNNNNNNNNNNNNNNNNNNNNNNNNNNNNNNNNNNNNNNNNNNNNNNNNNNNNNNNNNNNNNNNNNNNNNNNNNNNNNNNNNNNNNNNNNNNNNNNNNNNNNNNNNNNNNNNNNNNNNNNNNNNNNNNNNNNNNNNNNNNNNNNNNNNNNNNNNNNNNNNNNNNNNNNNNNNNNNNNNNNNNNNNNNNNNNNNNNNNNNNNNNNNNNNNNNNNNNNNNNNNNNNCGGGCUGCGGGCGGAUGUCCGGUGCGGCCGGACGUGUCCGGCGCGCCAGAGGGAGUUUUUUGGGUUUCGGGGGGAGGGAGAGAUCCGAAAAACGGGGGGUCUAUUUAUAGACCUAGAGGGAGCUAGGAGAGUCCAAAUGAGGUGCGGUUUUCGCCCACACGAUCGUGAUCGAACGACCGAGACGAUGGAGCUGAGUUUGGUGGGUUUUGGGCCAAAAUGUAGGGGUGUUGGGCUGCACACACACGAGGCCUUUUCGGUCCCUCGGUUAACCGUUGGAGUAUCAAACGAAGUCCAAAUGACCCGAAACUUGACAGGCGGUCUACCGGUAGUAAACCAAGGCCGCAUGGCAAGUCUCGGUCCAAUCUGGAAAUGUUUAAUCCCCACACACGAAAGAAAGCUAGAAAUGGCCACCGGAGGAGAACGAAGCGCCGGAAUGCAAAACGGACAACGGGGAAAAUGCUCGAAUGCAUGAGAUGAACAUGUAUGCAAAUGCGAUGCACGUGACGACAUGAUAUGAGAUGCACGAAAACAAAACAACACACGGGGACAAAGACCCGAACCCGAGAAUUAAAUAUAACUUAAUGCCGGAAACGGCAUGAGUCGGAGUACAAUUGGGGAAGGUUACAUAUGGGGCGUUACAUUGAGCCUAAUCACUUGCCUCUAUUGCCACCUAUGUUGUGUUUAUCAUCUAGGGUUUAUCGAUGCUAAGGAGAAUUCUAAGUUGGGCCUAAUCACUUGGCUCUAUUGUCAUCUAUGGUUUAAUGCAGCAAGAAUGGCGGGGCAGUUGAUCCUACUUAACUAAGUACUAAGAUACCCCGGCCCAUGCAUUAGUCGCAAGUACCCCAUAUGUCCUAUUUUUAGCAAAGUCAUGCUAAAAUUCACGGAAAAUUUCAGCAUGACCUGUGCUGAAAAUAGGACAUAUGGAGUACCCGAAUUUGCCGGAACAGAAGUUAAUCGACAUUCCGACAAACUCAAGGGCCUCUCGGGGUACCUGCAAAAUCAUUACCCCGCCCCCACCCAGCUGCAACCCCACAACACCCCACAAUAUCAUCACGACACGAUGGUCGGAGACAAAACCCCCCAAUAUCAUCAAAAUACUCCAGUUAUGAAGUAAAAUUCCUGAAGUGUUCCAGGAGUAGAACCUGAAGUGUAGUCAGUGGCUUCACCUAUGUGCAUAAAAAUUCAAAAUCAUUUGAAACCUGAUCACUAGUCAUAAAAAUUCAAAAUCAUUCAAAAUCAAAAUCUACUAAUUAGUUCUUGUGCUCAUCCAGUAGCAACAUCUUUCAUACAUGAUCAGUAGUCAUGUACCAAAUUUUUAUUUAGACUGAAUUUGCAAAUCAACAAGAGCUCUACUAGUUUCAGACUAGAUUUACACUAAAUACACUAGAGUAUUUGACCAGUAGUCAUGUGAAAUCUUUGAAUUUGUAAACACUUCCAGACUUGAGCAUUGAGAGUUCACAAUUGCAAAAAAUGUCCCUUGUUCCUGAACUUGUAUUGUACUCCAUUCAUUCAAGCAGAAAGAAACAAUUAUUGUUGAUACUCAUGUGCUUCUUUCCAAAUAAUGUUAUUUAUUCAGAGUUUGAGAAAUUUUGAACAAAAAAAGAACGCAAGAUACAGACUGAAAUUGAUGUUCAAAAAUAACUGAUAGUAGCAUGCUAUGGUACAGAUAAAGUUGGGUCAUAGUAACACACAGUAACAUUUCUGGAAUCCAAAUUGAAACAAUAAAUCACAGGUAGCUAGCAACUGAAAAUCAAAUUGGCACUUUCUCCAAACUCAUACAUGUCUUCUCUUUUUGUAGCAUUAGUGCUCAUCUCGAUGGAUUAACUGAAUUUUCUACAAACACCAAGUACUAGGGCACACAAAAGUUCUGAAAUUUGUGUGCCUAACUAAAUUAACUGAAUUUUUAGUAACCGAAUAAACUGAAUUUUCAAAACUGACAAAUAUUAAUAGGUUGACUAUAGCAAAUCCAAUUUGCAUGCUUCACUACAUAUAAUUUACAAUAAUCCGAGGGGACAAAUACAACAUUGGAAAAGUCAAUUCAGGUUAAUCUGAAUUGGCAGCUAUAGUGAUGCCAUUUAAAGCUAGCUAGAGGGAAAAGCCAUUUAAAAAAAUCCUCUCAUCUCAUAUGAGGAGUGUUAAUCCUAAGACUAAUAGUUUGUUGUGCAGUACAGUUACAGUGAUGCCCUGUCCAUUUUGUCCCUCCCCGACUAGAUACUAGAGUAGCACUGUUGAUGCCCUGUUCUUGCUGAACUUUAUGACAGUAUAUACAACAACUUAUCCUCUUAAGCCAAAACAACUUUCUAAAAGCCAAAUGCAACUUGUUGAGAUUAUUUUGAGCAGAACUCCUUGAGGAACUAGCAGCAAAAGGCACUGAACUAGCAGCAAGCUUGUGUUAUUGCUUACUAAGGUACUGAAUUGAUCGGAACUUCAGAACACUGAGCUUUACAUACUAAUUUCAGAGGGAUUUGAACCUAAUUUGACCUAAAUUCGAGAGGGAUUUGACCUUAUUUUGCAUCUACACUAGCCCCUAAUCCAUGGCUAGAGCUAGUAGUAGGAACACAUGGUAGAGUAAUUAGGUAGCCUUGAGGAACCCAAAUCCAUGGCUGGUAGAUCGAAUGAAACAAGGAGGGGAGAGGGGACGGAGGGGAGUUGGGGGCACCUUCACCUUGGGUGGCUGAACGACGGCGCCGUGGAUUUAGAGGUCUAGGUGGACGAAGCCCUUGAUUGCGGCGACUGUGGUGGCUGGGUGCGCCCCUCCUGCUCCUCCUCCUCGACCAGGACAAGGUCGGUGGCUACACGGUGAGGAGAAGGUCCUCCUCUCCUCUCCGGGCGUCGUCCUGGUCGCUUGCCGGCGUGGUCUACCUGUAGAGACGAGACAAGAAGGGCUCAGGGGUUUGGAGUGGAGGGGGGCUUACGGGCGGAGGAGGACGGGCGGAGGAAGAGGGGGGCUUACGGGCAGAGGAGGACGGACGGCGGCGCAGUAGGGGCGACGGAGGGAGGCGUUGCUGGGCUCCUGUGCCGGCUGCGGGGCAGCGGAGGCUUCGGACGGCUGGGUGCGCCGCGGUGUCGGGCUGGCAGUCGUGGCGGCAGGCGGGGCAGCCGGAGCGGGUGUGGAGUGGGCGCGGGGGUCGUUGGAGCGGGCCGGGGUCAUCGGAGCGGGCGCGGCGGGGGAGGGAAGGGGGAUCUGGCGAGGGAGAGGGAAGGGGGGAUCGGGCGAAGGGGUAUCCAGCUAGACACUAUAGCAAUGGCGCACCACCCUCUGGUGCGCCAUUAGUAGUUUUUUUCUGAUAGCAAUGGCGCACCCUCCACUGGUGCGCCAUUAGUAACUUUUUUUCUGACAGCAAUGGCGCACCCUCCUCUGGUGCGCCAUUAGUAACAUUUUUUUUCAUUAUUUCUUGUUGCAUCUAAUAAUUUAUUUUUUAUCAAAUUUGUUAUUUUCAUGAGGACUAGAACAGAAGAUAUCAUCAAAUAUCAUCAAACUUUUUUUUGAAAAUAUCAUCAAAUAAUUUUUAUACUAAUGGCGCACCGUGGCACAGUGCGCCAUUACUACUGUGCACCAUUAGUAGUUUUGCAAAAAAAGUAAAAAAAAUACAGUAGUGGCGCACUCUACGGCUGGUGCGCCAUUAGUAGUUCUAACUACUAAUGACACACUCCGCCCGGAUGCGCCAUUAGUAUGUUUGAAAAAAUGAAAAAAAACAAUUGUUACUAGUGGCGCANNNNNNNNNNNNNNNNNNNNNNNNNNNNNNNNNNNNNNNNNNNNNNNNNNNNNNNNNNNNNNNNNNNNNNNNNNNNNNNNNNNNNNNNNNNNNNNNNNNNNNNNNNNNNNNNNNNNNNNNNNNNNNNNNNNNNNNNNNNNNNNNNNNNNNNCCACACUAAUGGCGCACCAGCACAUGGUGCGCCACUAGCAGUGGCGCAACACAUGACAGGUGUGCCAUUAGUGUUCAUUCCAUCUAUAGCCCUUUUCCUAGUAGUGUACUUAUAGCAAGACUUCUCCCAUGUCCUCAGGAACAAACGUAACUACUCAUAAAUCAUAUUCAUGUUCAUAAUCAGAGUGGUAUUAAUAUGCAUAAUGGAUCUGAACAUAUGAUCUUCCACCAACUAAAUCAACUAGCAUCAACUACAAGGAGUAAUCAACACUAGUAGCAACCCACAUGUACCAAUCUGAGGUUUGGAUACAAAGAUUGGAUACAGGAGAUGAACUAGGGUUUGAGAUGAGAUGGUGCUGGUGAAGGUGUUGAUGGAGAUUGACCCCCUCCCGAUGAUAGUAUCGUUGAUGAUGACGAUGGUGAUGAUUUCCCCCUCCCGGAGGGAGGUUUCCCCUGCAGAACAGCUCCGCCGGAGCCCUAGAUUGGUUCCGCCUCAUGGCGGCGGAGUUUCAUCCCGUAAGCUUGCUUAUGAUUUUUUUCUUGACGAAAGACUCCAUAUAGCCAAAGAUGGGCAUCAGAGGGCCACCAGGGGGCCCACGAGACAGGGGGGCGCGCUCAGUGUUGGGGAUCGUAGCAGAAAUUUAAAAUUUUCUAUGCAUCACCAAGAUCAAUCUAUGGAGUCAUCUAGCAACGAGGGGAAGAGGAGUGCAUCUACAUACCCUUGUAGAUCGCGAGCGGAAGCAUUCAAGAGAACGGGGAUGAUGGAGUCGUACUCGUUGUGAUCCACAUCGCCGAUGAACCUAGCGCCGAACGGACGGCACCUCCGCGUUCAACACACGUACGGAGCGAGGACAUCUCCCGCGCCUUGAUCCGGCAAGGAAGAGGGAGAGGUUGAGGAAGAGGGCUCCAACAGCAGCACGACGACGUGGUGGUGGUGGAGCAGCAGUACUCCGGCAGGGCUUCGCCAAGCUCUUGCGGAGGAGGAGAGGUGUUGGGGAGGGGAGGGGCUGCGCCUUGGAUGUGGUGUGCAGCCCUCCCCAUGCCCCUCUAUUUAUAGGGGAAGGAGGAAGGGGGUCGGCCCCCUCUAGAUGAGAUCUAGAGGGGGUGGCCAAGGGGAGGGGGCUUGCCCCCCAAGCAAGGGGGGCGCCCCCCUUAGGGUUUCCCCCCAACCCUAGGCGCAUGGGCCCAAGGGGGGAUGCGCCCAGCCCAUGUAGGGCUGGUUCCCUUCCUCUACGGCCCAUUAGGCCCUCCGAGAGAGGUGGCCCCUCCCGGUGGACCCCCGGAACCCCUCCGGUGGCCCCGGUACAAUACCGAUAUGCCCCCGAACCUUUCCGGUGACCGUAUGACAACUUCUUACAUAUAAAUCUUCACCUCCAGACCAUUCCGGAACUCCUCGUGACGUUCGGGAUCUCAUCCGGGACUCCGAGCAACAUUCGGUAAUCACAUACAAGUCUUCCUAAUAACCCUAGAGUCAUCGGACCUUAAGUGUGUAGACCCUACGGGUUCAGGAACCAUGCAGACAUGACCGAGACAACUCUCCGGCCAAUAACCAACAGCGGGAUCUGGAUACCCAUGUUGGCUCCCACAUGUUCCACGAUGAUCUCAUCGGAUGAACCACGAUGUCGAGGAUUCAAGCAGUCGCGUAUUCAAUUCCCUUUGUCAAUCGGUACGUUACUUGCCCGAGAUUCGAUCGUCGGUAUCCCAAUACCUCGUUCAAUCUCGUUACCGGCAAGUCACUUUACUCGUUCCGUAAUGCAUGAUCCCAUGACCCACUACUUAGUCACACUGAGCUCAUUAUGAUGAUGCAUUACCGAGUGGGCCCAGAGAUACCUCUCCGUCAUACGGAGUGACAAAUCCCAGUCUCGAUUCAUGCCAACCCAACAGACACUUUCGGAGAUACCUGUAGUGUACCUUUAUAGCCACCCAGUUACAUUGUGACGUUUGGUACACCCAAAGCACUCCUACGGUAUCCGGGAGUUGCACAAUCUCAUGGUCUAAGGAAAUGAUACUUGACACUUAGAAAAGCUCUAGCAGACGAACUACACGAUCUUGUGCUAUGCUUAGGAUUGGUUCUUGUCCAUCACAUCAUUCUCCUAAUGAUGUGAUCCCGUUAUCAAUGACAUCCAAUGUCCAUGGUCAGGAAACCAUAACCAUCUAUUGAUCAACGAGCUAGUCAACUAGAGGCUCACUAGGGACAUGUUGUGGUCUAUGUAUUCACACAUGUAUUACGAUUUCCGGAUAACACAAUUAUAGCAUGAACAAUAGACAAUUAUCAUGAACAAGGAAAUAUAAUAAUAACCAUUUUAUUAUUGCCUCUAGGGCAUAUUUCCAACAGUCUCCCACUUCCACUAGAGUCAAUAAUCUUGUUACAUUGUGAUUAAUCGAACACCCAUAGAGUUCUUGUGUUGAUCAUGUUUUGCUUGAGGAAGAGGUUUAGUCAACGGAUCUGCGACAUUCAGGUCCGUAUGCACUUUGCAAAUAUCUAUGUCUCCAUUUUGAACAUUUUCACGAAUGGAGUUGAAGCGACGCUUGAUAUGCCUGGUCUUCCUGUGAAACCUGGGCUCCUUGGCAAGGGCAAUAGCUCCAGUGUUGUCACAGAAGAGAGUCAUCGGGCCCGACACAUUGGGAACAACUCCUAGGUCGGUAAUGAACUCCUUCACCCAGAUUGCUUCUUGUGCUGCCUCCGAGGCUGCCAUGUACUCCGCUUCACAUGUAGAUCCCGCCAUGACGCUUUGCUUGCAACUGCACCAGCUGACUGCCCCACCAUUCAAAAUAUACACGUAUCCGGUUUGUGACUUGGAGUCAUCCAGAUCUGUGUCGAAGCUAGCAUCGACAUAACCCUUUAUGACGAGCUCUUCGUCACCUCCAUAAACGAGAAACAUAUCCUUAGUCCUUUUCAGGUACUUCAGGAUAUUCUUGACCGCUGUCCAGUGUUCCAUGCCGGGAUUACUUUGGUACCUUCCUACCAAACUUACGGCAAGGCUUACAUCAGGUCUGGUACACAGCAUGGCAUACAUAAUAGACCCUAUGGCCGAGGCAUAGGGGACGACACUCAUCUUUUCUCUAUCUUCUGACGUGGUCGGGCAUUGAGUCGCGCUCAAUCUCGUACCUUGCAAUACAGGCAAGAACCCCUUCUUGGACUGAUCCAUAUUGAACUUCUUCAAUAUCUUGUCAAGGUACGUACUCUGUGAAAGACCAAUGAGGCGUCUCGAUCUAUCUCUAUAGAUCUUGAUGCCUAAUAUAUAAGCAGCUUCUCGAAGAUCCUUCAUUGAAAAAACACUUGUUCAAGUAGGCCUUUAUGCUUUCCAAGAAUUCUAUAUCAUUUCCCAUCAAUAGUAUGUCAUCCACAUAUAAUAUGAGAAAUGCUACAGAGCUCCCACUCACUUUCUUGUAAACACAGGCUUCUCCAUAAGCCUGCGUAAACCCAAACGCUUUGAUCAUCUCAUCAAAUCGAAUGUUCCAACUCCGAGAUGCUUGCACCAGCCCAUAGAUUGAGCGUUGGAGCUUGCACACCUUGUCAGCAUUCUUAGGAUCGACAAAACCUUCCAGCUGCAUCAUAUACAAUUCUUCCUUGAGGAAACCAUUAGGGAAUGCCGUUUUGAUGUCCAUUUGCCAUAUCUCAUAAUCAUAGAGUGUGGCAAUUGCUAACAUGAUCCGGACGGACUUCAGCUUCGCUACGGGUGAGAAAGUCUCAUCGUAGUCAACCCCUUGAACUUGUCGAUAACCCUUAGCGACAAGCCGAGCCUUAAAGAUGGUCACAUUACCAUCCACGUUUGUCUUCUUCUUAAAGAUCCAUUUAUUUUCUAUGGCUCGUCGAUCAUCGGGCAAGUCAGUCAAAGUCCGUACUUCGUUUUCAUACAUGGUCCUAUCUCAGAUUUCAUGGCUUCCAGCCAUUUGUCAGAAUCUGGGCCCGCUAUCGCUUCUUCAUAGUUCGAAGGUUCACCAUUGUCCAACAACAUGAUUUCCAGGACAGGGUUGUCGUACCACUCUGGUGCGGAACGUGUCCUUGUGGACCUACGAAGUUCAGCAGCAACUUGAUCUGAAGUUUCAUGAUCAUCAUCAUUAACUUCCUCUCUAGUCGGUGCAGGCACCUCAGGAACAUUUUCCUGAGCCGCGCCACUCUCCGGUUCAAGAGGCAAUACUUCAUCAAGUUCUACUCUCCUCCCACUUACUUCUUUCGAGAGAAACUCUUUCUCUAGAAAGGAUCCAUUCUUGGCAACAAAGAUCUUGCCUUCGGAUCUGAGGUAGAAGGUAUACCCAAUAGUUUCUUUAGGGUAUCCUAUGAAGACGCAUUUUUCCAAUUUGGGUUCGAGCUUUUCAGGUUGAAGUUUCUUCACGUAAGCAUCGCAUCCCCAAACUUUUAGAAACGACAGCUUAGGUUUCUUCCCAAACCAUAAUUCAUACGGUGUCGUCUCAACGGAUUUCGACGGAGCCCUAUUUAAAGUGAAUGUGGCAGUCUCUAAAGCAUAGCCCCAAAAUGACAGCAGUAGAUCGGUAAGAGACAUCAUACAUCGCACCAUAUCUAAUAGAGUGCGAUUACGACGUUCGGACACACCAUUACGCUGAGGUGUUCCAGGCGGCGUGAGUUGUGAAACUAUUCCACAUUUCCUUAAGUGCUGCCAAAUUCGUGACUCAAAUAUUCUCCCCCACGAUCUGAUCGCAAGAACUUGAUUUUCCUGUCACGUUGAUUCUCAACCUCACUCUGAAAUUCCUUGAACUUUUCAAAGGUCUCAGACUUGUGUUUCAUUAAGUAGACAUACCUAUAUCUACUCAAGUCAUCAGUGAGGGUGAGAACAUAACGAUAGCCACCGCGAGCCUCAACACUCAUUGGACCGCACACAUCAGUAUGUAUGAUUUCCAAUAAGUUGGUUGCUCGCUCCAUUGUUCCGGGGAACGGAGUCUUGGUCAUUUUGCCCAUGAGGCAUGGUUCGCACGUGUCAAAUGAUUCAUAAUCAAGAGACUCCAAAAGUCCAUCUGCAUGGAGUUUCUUCAUGCAUUUGACACCAAUGUGACCAAGGCGGUAGUGCCACAAAUAUGUGGGACUAUCAUUAUCAACCUUACAUCUUUUGGUAUUCACACUAUGAAUAUGUGUAACAUCACGUUCGAGAUUAAAUAAGAAUAAACCAUUGACCAGCGGGGCAUGACCAUAAAACAUAUCUCUCAUAUAAAUAGAACAACCAUUAUUCUCGGAUUUAAAUGAGUAGCCAUCUCGUAUUAAACGAGAUCCUGAUACAAUGCUCAUGCUCAAAGCUGGCACUAAAUAACAAUUAUUGAGGUUUAAAACUAAUCCUGUAGGUAAAUGCAGAGGUAGCGUGCCGACGGCGAUCACAUCGACCUUGGAACCAUUCCCGACGCGCAUCGUCACCUUGUCCUUCGCCAGUCCCCGCUUAUUCCGUAGCUCCUAUUUUGAGUUACAAAUAUGAGCAACCGCACCGGUAUCAAAUACCCAGGAGCUACUACGAGUACUGGUGAGGUACACAUCAAUAACAUGUAUAUCACAUACACCUUUGGUGUUGCCGACCUUCUUGUCCGCUAAGUACUUGGGGCAGUUCGGCUUCCAGUGACCACUUCCCUUGCAAUAAAAACACUCAGUCUCGGGUUUGGGUCCAUUCUUUGGCUUCUUCCUGGCAGCUUGCUUACCGGGUGUGGCAACUCCCUUGCUGUCCUUCUUGAAGUUCUUUUUACCCUUCCCUUUCUUGAACUUAGUGGUUUUAUUCACCAUCAACACUUGAUGUUCUUUUUUGAUUUCCACCUCCGCUGAUUUCAGCAUUGAAUAUACCUCAGGAAUGGUCUUUUCCAUCCCCUGCAUAUUGAAGUUCAUCACAAAGCUCUUAUAGCUAGGUGGGAGCGACUGAAGGAUUCUAUCAACGACCGCAUCAUCCGGGAGAUUAACUCCCAGCUGAGACAAGCGGUUAUGUAACCCAGACAUUUUGAGUAUGUGCUCGCUGACGGAACUAUUCCCCUCCAUCUUACAACUGUAGAACUUGUCGGAGACUUCAUAUCUCUCAACCCGGGCAUGAGCUUGGAAAACCAUUUUCAGCUCUUGGAACAUCUCAUAUGCUCCGUGUUGCUCAAAACGCUACUGGAGCCUGGUUCUAAGCUGUAAAGCAUGCCGCACUGAACCAGGGAGUAGUCAUCAGCACGGGACUGCCAAGCGUUCAUAACGUCUUGGUUUGCUGGGGGUGGUGCUUCACCUAGCGGUGCUUCAAGGACAUAUGCUUUCUUGGCAGCUAUGAGGAUGAUCCUCAAGUUCCGGACCCAGUCCGUAUAGUUGCUACCAUCGUCUUUCGGCUUGGUUUUCUCUAGGAAUGCGUUGAAAUUGAGGACAACAUUAGCGUGGGCCAUUUGAUCUACAAGACAUAUUGUAAAGAUUUUAGACUAAGUUCAUGAUAAUUAAGUUCAUCUAAUCAAAUUAUUUAAUAAACUCCCACUCAGAUAGACAUCCCUCUAGUCAUCUAAGUGAUACAUGAUCCGAUUCAACUAGGCCAUGUCCGAUCAUCACGUGAGACGGACUGGUCAUCAUUGGUGAACAUCUUCAUGUUGAUCGUAUCUUCUAUACGACUCAUGUUCGACCUUUCGGUCUUCCGUGUUCUGAGGCCAUGUCUGUACAUGCUAGGCUCGUCAAGUCAACCUAAGUGUUUUGCGUAUGUAAAUCUAGCUUACACCCGUUGUAUGCGAACGUUAGAACCUAUCACACCCGAUCAUCACGUGGUGCUUCGGAACAACGGACCUUAGCAACGGUGCACAGUUAGGGGGAACACUUUCUUGAAAUUAUUGUGAGGGAUCAUCUUAUUUAUGCUACCGUCGUUCUAAGCAAAUAAGAUGUAAAACAUGAUAAACAUCACAUGCAAUCAAAUAGUGACAUGAUAUGGCCAAUAUCAUUUUGCUCCUUUUUGAUCUCCAUCUUCGGGGCGCCAUGAUCAUCAUCGUCACCGGCAUGACACCAUGAUCUCCAUCAUCAUGAUCUCCAUCAUCGUGUCUUCAUGAAGUUGUCUCGUCAACUAUUACUUCUACUACUAUGGCUAACGGUUAGCGAUAAAGUAAAGUAAUUACAUGACGUAUAAGUUGACAUGCACACGCAGGUCAUAAAUAAAUUAAGACAACUCCUAUGGCUCCUGCCGGUUGUCAUACUCAUCGACAUGCAAGUCGUGAUUUCUAUUACAAGAACAUGAUCAAUCUCAUACAUCACAUAUAUCAUUCAUCACAUCCUUUCGGCCAUAUCACAUCACACGGCAUAUGCUGCAAAAACAAGUUAGACGUCCUCUAAUUGUUGUUGUAAGUUUUUACAUGGCUGCUAUAGGUUUCUAGCAAGAACGUUUCUUACCUACGUCAAAACCACAACGUGAUAUGCCAAUUUCUAUUUACCCUUCAUAAGGACCCUUUUUAUCGAAUCUGAUCCGACUAAAGUGGGAGAGACAGACACCCGCUAGCCACCUUAUGCAACUAGUGCAUGUCAGUCGGCGGAACUAGUCUCACGUAAGCGUACGUGUAAGGUUGGUCUGGGCCGCUUCAUCCCACGAUGCCGCCGAAUCAAGAUAAGACUAGUAACGGCAAGUAAAUUGACAAAAUCGACGCCCACAACAACUUGUGUUCUACUCGUGCAUAGAAACUACGCAUAGACCUAGCUCGUGAUGCCACUGUUGGGGAUCGUAGCAAAAAUUUAAAAUUUUCUACGCAUCACCAAGAUCAAUCUAUGGAGUCAUCUAGCAAUGAGGGGAAGAGUAGUGCAUCUACAUACCCUUGUAGAUCACGAGCGGAAGCGUUCAAGAGAACGGGGAUGAUGGAGUCGUACUCGUCGUGAUCCAAAUCACCGAUGAUCCUAGCGCCGAACGGAUGGCACCUCCGCGUUCAUCACACGUACGGAGCGAGGACGUCUCCCGCACCUUGAUCCAGCAAGGAAGAGGGAGAGGUUGAGGAAGAGGGCUCCAACAACAGCACGAUGGCAUGGUGGUGGUGGAGCAGCAGUACUCGGUAGGGCUUCGCCAAGCUCUUGCGGAGGAGGAGAGGUGUUGGGGAGGGGAGGGGUUGUGCCUUGGAUGUGGUGUGCAGCCCUCCCCUUGCCCCUCUAUUUAUAGGGGAAGGAGGAAUGGGGCCGGCCCCCUCUAGAUGAGAUCUAGAGGGGGCGGCCAAGGGGAGGGGGCUUGCCCCCCAAGCAAGGGGGGCGCCCCCCUUAGGGUUCCCCCCCCCCAACCUUAGGCGCAUGGGCCCAAGGGGGGGUGUGCCCAGCCCAUGUAGGGCUGGUUCCCUUUCCUCUACAGCCCAUUAGGCCCUCCGAGAGAGGUGGCCCCUCCCGGUGGACCCCCGGAACCCCUCCGGUGGCCCCGGUACAAUACCGAUAUGCCCCCGAACCUUUUCGGUGACCGUAUGACAACUUCCUACAUAUAAAUCUUCACCUCUGGACCAUUCCGGAACUCCUCGUGACGUCCGGGAUCUCAUCCGGGACUCCAAACAACAUUCGGUAAUCACAUACAAGUCUUCCUAAUAACCCUAGUGUCAUCGAACCUUAAGUGUGUAGACCCUACGGGUUCGGGAACCAUGCAGACAUGACCGAGACAACUCUCCGGCCAAUAACCAAUAGCGGGAUCUGGAUACCCAUGUUGGCUCCCACAUGUUCCACGAUGAUCUCAUCGGAUGAACCAUGAUGUCGAGGAUUCGAUCAUCGGUAUCCCAAUACCUCGUUCAAUCUCAUUACCGGCAAGUCACUUUACUCGUUCCGUAAUGCAUGAUCCCGUGACCCACUACUUAGUCACACUGAGCUCAUUAUGAUGAUGCAUUACCGAGUGGGCCCAGAGAUACCUCUCCGUCAUACGGAGUGACAAAUCCCAGUCUCAAUUCAUGCCAACCCAACAGACACUUUCGGAGAUACCUGUAGUGUACCUUUAUAGCCACUCAGUUACGUUGUGACGUUUGGUACACCCAAAGCACUCCUACAGUAUCCGGGAGUUGCACAAUCUCAUGGUCUAAGGAAAUGAUACUUGACACUUAGAAAAGCUCUAGCAGACGAACUACACGAUCUUGUGCUAUGCUUAGGAUUGGGUCUUGUCCAUCACAUCAUUCUCCUAAUGAUGUGAUCCCGUUAUCAAUGACAUCUAAUGUCCAUGGUCAGGAAACCGUAACCAUCUAUUGAUCAACGAGCUAGUCGACUAGAGGCUCACUAGGGACAUGUUGUGGUCUAUGUAUUCACACAUGUAUUACGAUUUUCGGAUAACACAAUUAUAGCAUGAACAACAGACAAUUAUCAUGAACAAGGAAAUAUAAUAAUAACCAUUUUAUUAUUGCCUCUAGGGCAUAUUUCCAACACUCAGGGGGUAGGGCGCGCCCCCCACCCUCGUGGACGGUGGGUGGCCCCCCUCUGGUACUUUUUCGCCAAAUAUUUUUUAUAUAUUAUAAAAAUAAUUCCCGUGGAGUUUCAGGACUUUUGGAGAUGUGCAGAAUAGGUCUCUAAUAUUUGCUCCUUUUCCAGCCCAGAAUUCCAGCUGCCGGCAUUCCCCAUCUUCAUUUAAAUCUUGUAAAAUAAGAGAGAAUAGGCAUAAGUAUUGUGACAUAAUGUGUAAUAACAGCCUAUAAUAUAAUAAAUAUCGAUAUAAAAGCAUGAUGCAAAAUGGACAUAUCAGAGUUGUGGCCAUGGAACACUAGAGAGCGCUAGGGGACGGGAAGAGGAGUGUGUGGCUAGGUUGAGCGGGUGCACUCACGGGUUGAACCCAUGGUGUCGUCUAACCCAAUUUUAUCAUUCAUCCUCAACCCGCACCAACUCAAUCCAACUUGUUCUCUGCUACACCCACACUGCCCCAGCCCAGUUAGCCUUUUCUGCCCAUUAUAGCCCAACCAAAGGAAACCAAUCAACAACUGACACUAAAAUUUCCAAUUAAAACCGCCCCAUUCCUAGGUUAACACACGUGUGAAUAUGCAAAACCGUGUGCGUGGUCGGUGGUACUAAAUGUAGUUAAUUAUAUCCAAAUUCUGACCACCCUCUAAUGCGCCUAUAUAAUAUGCUAAUCAUCAAUUCAAUUGUCAUUCAUUCCUUCUUCAUCCCUGCGCUCUCACACACUCUCUCUUGCAAUCUCUCCCAUCGCAGCCAUGGCCUCCUGGAAAGGGCCACGGAACCAGUACUCCUCCAGUGACGACGACAUCUGCAGUCCUGAUGUAAGUGAGAAUUCAUUGGGACCGCAAUCCACACCACCCUUUAGCCUCUACAGCUCUGACGACCUCGAAUAUAUUGAUUUCAUGGAAGGUCCAAAGGAGCCAUCAGAGACCGACUCGGAGGAGGAGCACUCGGAGAACCAUGAAGAAGAUGAGGAGGAGGAGGAGGAGGAGGACGACGACGACGACGAGGAUGUCGAUGACAGUGAUGGCGACGAUGACGACUUUGAUGACAGUGAUAAUGACGACGACGGCGAGAAGAAGCCAACAGUAAGCGGCAAGAAGUAUCCUCGCCAAGACAAUGGCGCGAAAGUGGCAUCCAAGAAGAAGAAGGAGUAGACUAGUAUAUCUUUGUUGUUGAGUUUGCUUAUAUAUAUACUUCAUAUAUGUUGAUACUUUCCUCCCUAGCUAUUAGUUGAUGUAAUUAAUGGAGUCUUAUUAAUGGUUAUCCAGAGUCGUUUAUAUUUUUGUUUACCUUCUUGGUAUGUGCAUAUGGCAGGUUUACUCUUCUGGCUCUAGGUUUCGUCGAUCUUAUAUCUUCAGGUAGCUCUAGAUCUCACACAAUCCAUAUGCUAAAAUUGUGAGCGAUGGUUCUCACUAUCGCACAUAGUUCCAUUAAUUCAAUUCGAUCUCCCUUUGCUCUGCUCCGAGUUGUAUUAGUAUUGAAAUCGUUCAACGAUGCGAGGGGGAGGGGGGGUGCGGCCCGAGGCUGAAAUUAAGGAGCAAUGAGCCCGACAACGAAAAAAGACGAUCCAUUUUUUAUUAUCAGUGGCAAUAGGGGUAAAUAAUAUUAACUUUGAGGGUUAUUUUGAUAACGGACGAAAAAACUGAAGACACUCACCUCCCUCUAAUAUUUUUUUUCUCUAAAGAUUGCAAGGGCAUAAUUACCUGUCCUGUGUUUUUUUUUGGAAAACACCUGUCUUGUGUUAUAACACCUUGAGUGAUGGUGAUUUGUGUAACAAGGUUCAGACAUAAUGACUCCCUCUUUCUCAAAAAAGGAACUCAACGGUAACAAACUAAACUUGAGGUAACUGAAGAUAGAAUAAAAAAGCUGAUAUUUUUUGUCAGAUUUUUAGUCUACCGGUAUGUGAAUGCCUAUGCUUUUCUAAAAAAAAAGUGCUACAGUANNNNNNNNNNNNNNNNNNNNNNNNNNNNNNNNNNNNNNNNNNNNNNNNNNNNNNNNNNNNNNNNNNNNNNNNNNNNNNNNNNNNNNNNNNNNNNNNNNNNNNNNNNNNNNNNNNNNNNNNNNNNNNNNNNNNNNNNNNNNNNNNNNNNNNNNNNNNNNNNNNNNNNNNNNNNNNNNNNNNNNNNNNNNNNNNNNNNNNNNNNNNNNNNNNNNNNNNNNNNNNNNNNNNNNNNNNNNNNNNNNNNNNNNNNNNNNNNNNNNNNNNNNNNNNNNNNNNNNNNNNNNNNNNNNNNNNNNNNNNNNNNNNNNNNNNNNNNNNNNNNNNNNNNNNNNNNNNNNNNNNNNNNNNNNNNNNNNNNNNNNNNNNNNNNNNNNNNNNNNNNNNNNNNNNNNNNNNNNNNNNNNNNNNNNCAGGACGGCCGGCGGUAUCCAUGUUGGGCGUGAGCCUCAUCCAGAUGGAUUGCUAUUAAAUUCCACAAUCUUUUUGUAAUUCAAAAGAUUGACACGAAUAAAAAUAGAUCGUAUCUUAAAACGCAAUUAAACCAUGCUAAUAAUUUUUAUUAUCUUUUGAAGACAAUUUUGUAAUAAUUUUCACUAUUACUAAGUACAAAAGAUUGCGUCGAAUAAAAAAUUGGCGAUGAUGAUGAUACCAUCACGAGAUCGAUGGCCAUGGCAAGGACCACCGGCCGUAUCCACGUUGGACAAUGCGUCGGCGGCCAGAUGGAUUCCAAAUGGACUCGGCCGCUUCUCAGCAUCCCUCCAAACCUGCAUGCGUGCGCAUGCAUUCAUGUGACCCGAUCUCCACCUCACUCCACCACCACAGUCCACAGCCCUUCGCUAUAAUUGCCUGCCGUGGCCGAUCCUGCUCGCAGCACAAUACGCAGCUGAAGCCGCCCACACCUCAUCUCCAUGGCGGGCAUGCUCUGCGUUGCUCUCCUCCUCACGUCCCUGAUCUGGUCAGCCGCGCCCACGGCCGGCUUGGCCGGAGAUGGCCGCCGGCAGCAGCAGCUAACCGCGCUGCCGCCGAGGGGCUGGAACUCGUACGACUCCUUCUCGUGGAUCAUCGACGAGGCCGCGUUCCUCGACAACGCGCGGAUCAUGGCCAACAGGCUGCUCCCCCAUGGAUACCAGGUAUCACACACCAAGCCCUUCAUAGGUUUUUUUUCAUUCAAGUAUGGAUGAUCAUACCGCAUUUCUUCUCUGUUGCGGCAUGACAUAACAUUAGAUGAUGCACCGUGCACGCAGUACGCAGUGAUAGACUUCCUGUGGUACCGGAGGAUCGCCGCCGGCUCGGGGGUGGGCGCGUACGGCUUCGACAGCAUGGACCAGUGGGGGCGCCCGUACCCUGACCCCCAGAGGUUCCCGUCGGGCCGAGGUGGCGGAGGGUUCAGGCCGAUCGCCGAUAAGGUCCAUGCCAUGGGCCUCAAGUUCGGCAUCCACCUCAUGAACGGGAUCAGCACCCAGGCCGUCAACGCCAACAUGCCCAUCCUCGACGUCCGCACGGUACUCCUCUCCAUCUUGAUUCCUUUUUUUUUCUUUUUUUGUUACUUUUGGAGUAGUAGCUGGUUUUGUCUUCAGGUUUGGGUUGCUUACCACAUGUUCCACGUGGUCUUCCAGAAUAGCUGAACUUUGCUUCGUCUUGAAGUUUUUUGUAGUUAUCAUUUUGCAGUAUUUUGGUACGAUCUUUCACGUCCAAAAAUAUAUACAUAUUUUCAUAUGUUGCUAUCUAUCUAUUCUUCAAUUCUAUCAUCAUCUUCUUUCUAAUUCUAGUAUAUAAGAGUGAAUUUUGGAGAUCCAACGGAUCCCACCCGCUCAUCCACGUCAAUCCAAAAACCUAUGUUGAUUUGAUGUUUAGUGCUAAGCAUGUUUAGCAUGCUCAAUAUUACAUUUACUUCCCCCCAAAAAUAUUAUAGUUAUUUAGUAUUAUUACUAUCCAAUUAUUAUUGUUCAGUAAUUAUUACUAUCCAAUUAUGUCCAUGUAAUAAUAGUUGCUAUCUAAUUAUCUCCAAACAGCACAUAAUCUUGUUAUACCUACCAUAUUUUUGUAGACAAGUAUAUACACAACAGCUAGGAUCAAAUCGUCCUCUUAACUAGAAAGUAAGGUUGGCCUUUCUCAUCAUGAAAGUAGUAGGGUUUUUUUUUUUUUGAAGGGGCAUGACAGUAGUAGUUGCUUGAGCGGAGUAAGUUACCUCGUUACAGCUAUACAAGAAAGAGAUCUUAGUGUGUGUUUUUUUGCAAUUUUUAUUCAGGGAAAAGCCUAUGUAGAGAAUGGCCGACAAUGGAGGGCGCGUGACAUAGGCCUCACCCACAGGACAUGUGCGUGGAUGCCGAAAGGAUUUAUGAGUGUAAAUACGGACCUGGGAGCUGGACGAGCAUUCCUAAGGUCUCUCUAUCGACAGUAUGCCGACUGGGGCGUCGAUUUCGGUAAGCAGAACUUCAUACUAAUUUUCAGUUACAUUAUUCUGAAUUUCAGAAGUGGAUUGCAGUCCUUAGAACUGAAAUCUCAGCAAAUGGUAACAUAAUGCACCAAACUGUUCUGCUUGCAGUGAAGCUAGAUUGCAUCUUCGGCACCGAUUACAGCCCGAAGGAGAUUGUGACCGUCUCAGAGGUAUGAACUAAUGUAGCCCUCCAUUCUAGAAUCAGCUACAUCACAAUUGGCGAUCUGUUGAGAUCAACUCAUGGGAAAUACACAUUGCGUUUUGCAGAUCCUGAAAGAGCUUGAGAGACCAGUCGUCCUAUCCAUCUCCCCCGGAACCGCUGUCACUCCAUCAUUAGCUGAGAAUAUCACACAACAUGUUGACAUGUACAGGGUAACAGGAGAUGACUGGGACAGCUGGAAAGAUGUUCGCCCACAUUUCGAUGUCGCCAGGUAGAUUCCAUUUAAGUAUAAGCUCCUCACACAAUUCUAGAAACAUGGCAACUGCUGCUUGUAGUUUGCAGUACAACCAAUCUACUUUAUCUUCUUUUUCACCGCGCAUAUAAUAUAUAGAUCAUUUGCUGCUGCGAAUAAGAUUGGCGCCCCUGGAUUGCGAGGGAGGUCCUGGCCAGACUUAGACAUGCUUCCAUUUGGCUGGCUUACUGAUGCAGGUGAUCAUCCAUACCAUAACUUCGUGGCACUUUCCUUUUGUAAUGCACGACUCGGUUCUACUUUUCAUGUGCAUCGGUGUGACUAAUCGUUCGAAAAUUUCUGAUAUUUCUCUCAUACAGGUGCUAAUCAGGGACCUCACAGAACCACUAGCCUUACAUUUGAGGAACAAACAACACAGGUUUGCAAUUGAAGAAACUUCAUCUCUGUUUCCAAGUUGGAAGCCGAAGUCUUAAACCUUUGAACACAUUUUUGCAGAUGGUACUUUGGUCAAUGGCUAAAUCACCGCUCAUGUAUGGUGGGGACUUGAGGCGUCUCGACGAUCGCACAUUCAAUCUAAUUACCCACCCUACUCUACUGAAGAUAAAUCACCACACCAGAAACAACAUGGAGGUGAACUAAAUAUUAGUUGGAGUCCGGAGAUUCCUGCUGCAACAUAUACUGCACAACGAGCUAACCUGUGGGUAUUUUUUUUCAGUUUGGUUAUAUUCAUAGUGAAAGGGCUUCAAAGCCAGAUGAACAAUCCGAUCUUUCAAAGUCCGGCUAUCCGAUGGACGUGACAAACAAUGGUGGUAUGGUUCUUGGUCUCAGUACAUGCAGCGAUAAGAGCGCUGGUGGAUGGUACAGUUCCUCAGAAGAUCGCAUUUGCAGAAGCUAUGGAAUCCAGAAUGGCAAUGCCUCGUUUUGCAUAUCCAAAGCAAAACUUCUUCCAACAUCGUAAGUGGCGUGUGACAAAACAAUGUAUUAAAGGAAGCAGUCCUAAUCUUUUGAAUUAUAUGUAUGAUCCACACAUAUUAUUUUUAUGCAGGGAUGGAGUUACCAUGAGCAGCGAGGAAGACCAGGCAAAGUUUCAUCUGGCAGAUAUUGACACCGAUGAUGGUUGCUUGGAUGCAUCUGUGAGUCCAUGGCGAACAAGCUCAGCGAGCCAAACUCCCAUGUUCUCGGCCUGCGAACGACAUACAAAGCAGGUAAGUUCAGCCCACACAUUGAUAUCCUGGUAAGAGAAACGGGAUCCAUGUAGAGUGAGGCUGAAAUGCAGAAAUCUGUGGAGCAUUAUGUGUCAUGAAAUUGCUAUUUAGCUGCCAUAAUAACCAAAAAAUGGACAUUUGAUCAUUUAACUUUGGAAAUGAACUUAAGUCAUGGUUGAUCAUUUUUUGCCGAUAACAAUGGCAGGCCUGGGAGCUAACAGAGAAUGGACAGCUUGUAAGCAGUUACUCAGGAUUGUGUGCUACAAUGCAGUCCAGCAAGGAAGGAGGUACAAGUUAUUCUACACCGAUUCACCAUAAAUUAAUCGCUAUUUUUACCUAAGUAACACUUCUGUUUGACGCGACAGAGAAUGAAACUACCGGAGCACGAGCAUGGACAGCAAUUGGAGACAAAGGUACUUUUAUCUGAGCAGCAUGCUUCUUUGCCAAUGCACACUUGGCGAAUAAGCGUGCCUUUUCUUUGGCUGAUUCUUCUUCUUGCAUGGAAGCAGGAGAGAUCUAUGUGGCCAUCUUCAACCUCGACACUGCAAGGAGGAAGAUCACUGUAAGCGUGCCGGAUCUAGAAAAGGUUGUCCGGAGAAAGUUGGCAAGGUGCAGCUGCACAGAAGUCUGGAGUAGAAAAAGAUGGAGUGUGAUGAAGGGGGGCAUCUCAGCGGUGGUGACCUCACAUGGCUCCAUGUUGUUUGAAAUCCGGUGUUGAGGUCUCUCUAAUAAUGUUCACCUGUUCAACUUGGAAGCAUAGAAUGAUUGGAGUGUAAAUUCUCUAGUUGUUUGUCGAUCCUUUGUAGAACAUACUUCUAAUAAGGUAAGCAUUUUAAUUGAUAUUAGCAACGUGUGUGUGCAGUGCAUGUGUUGACAAAGUAGACUAA